AAGAAAAAAUAUUUUAAUUUGUUUUGUGACUCCAACCUUGACUGUAUUUUUUAAUUCAAAAAACUUAAAAACAUGAUGAAAAUUACCACCAAGAUAGUAUUUGUUAUGAUCUUUCUCGCUUUGGUAGCCACUAACGGUAUUUUGUUUUUCAUCUUAUUAUAUGUAUUUUUUUUAUUCUAAACAAUUUUAUUAAUUACUUUCUUUCAAUCUCCGAUCCAAAUUGAGGCCACAGAAAAAGAAUCUAGCUAGUAUAGCAUUACAUCUUUAAGCCAACUCGAUUUUGGUUGAUAUAAGAUGUUUGUAUUUUCUUUUUUUUUUUUCCCUCUCUAAAACAAUAAAAAAACAUUUUUUACUUAAAUUAAGAAUGUGGAUUUUUUUAGAAAAUAUGUAAGAGAUUUUUAAUGAAAUGUUUUUUUAAAACACUGUCUUUUAAGAAUAAAUUUUUUUUAAUAAAAAAUAUUCAAAAAAAGAAAAGAAAAAUGUUUUAAAAGUCAAUUCAGACACAUUUAUGCUUUUUCUUUUUUUUUUCUCUGUGUUUUGUAAAUUUUUUAUGAUGUUCUAAAUAUAUUAUGUAUGACUCUUUUCCCCUUCUUUAUUUUUAUUUUUUAUUUUUUUGUAGGGUCUGGUCUUCAAAAGACACCAACAAACAUGGAGCUUCAAAAUCAUUGGAUUGGUGGUUGCAAUUGGCCUGGUGGUUGCAAUUAUUUUGCAAAAACUUGUGCUCCAUUUAUUCCUGUGUGUAUAAAAGGUGUUUGUAGAUGUAAAAGGACAGGCAAUAAUAUUGAAAAAACAAAACAAGAACGCCAUAAUCGCAUAGAUGGUGAAAAACAAAAUUAGUAGGUACAUAUCAUUAUAAAUAAUGUAAUAUUUGUCAGCAUAUAUUAGAGAUGAGUAUGUGUGGCUUAUAUGACUUAUGUAUGAUAUAAAAUAAAAUAUUUCAAUAAUAAAAAUAUUGAAAUUUAAUAAUUUAUUGUUACUCAUGGAUGUAAAAUUUGUGAUGUCUUAUAUAGUUAUUAUAUUACCAUGGAAUUAUUAAGUAAAGAAAUAAGUUUACAAGUAGUAAUUUCAAAAAUUAAUUUUUUUUAAUACUGAUGCCACAGCCAUCCGUAAGUAAUAAUAAAAAUAAAAUCAUCCAUAAAAUUGUUUUGUCGGUAAAAUAGGUUCUAAAAUUAUCAACAGUAAAAUAAUCGAUGGAUAUUUUUUUUAUGUUCGUUCUCGUCAUGAGUAAUGACAAAUUUUCUAGUAGUGGUAAUUAUUAUUUAUUUGCUAUUAUUUUUGAGGAUCAGUCUUUUCAAGCAGUAAAAAUAGAAUCUGCAAUAUAAAGAUAGUUGGAAUUUACUGUUGUGAAUAAUAAAUUCUGUUAAACCUGUUUGGUAUAAAUAAUAGGUUUACCUUUUAUUUUGGAAAAUUAGUUGAGAUUUGUAAUUGACUUUCUCAAAGUAUUGAGUGCAUUCAAAAGUAAUAGUUGGUUAGUUUCUCUAAUCAAAAAGAGUUCUUUUUCUCUGUACACAUUAUAAUUUUUCGUUCUUUGUUCUUUAUUCUUCUUUCUUACUUCUUUCAAGCAAUUUGUUUUGAGUUUCUAUAUGGUAUCAAGAGCUUUUGGAUUCUUCAAUCAUGACAGAUGCAUCUGUUAACUCCAAUUUUGGGAAUUCAAAUCCCUCCCAUUCUGCAAAUUCAAAUCCUAUCAACAAUGUUAUUGCAAACAAUUUUUCUUUCCCACCACAUCUACUAAAUUUGAGACCUUUCAACCCCGUUAGUGACAAGCUUGGAGAAAAGAAUCACAAGACUUGGGAGCAGCAGGCAUUAGCAGCUAUUAGAGGUCAGAAAUUAGAGGAUCACUUGUUUUCAAAUUGUGUUCCAAAAUCAGCAAAAUUUUCUUGAAUCUGUUACCUAUCAACAGUGGCUCCAAGAUGAUUAUAAUCUUCAAUCCUGGUUGCUUGCUUCUAUUGAUCCUGUGUUCAAGAACAAAAUGGUUGGCUACACACUUAGUCAUCAAAUUUGGACAAAGAUUGAAGAGUACUUUGCUAAAUCAACAAGAUUUCGAGUGAAGUAGCUAAGGCUCAACUUAAGGCCAUCAAGAAACAAGGUCAAAGCCCCACUGAUUAUGUUUUCCAAAUAAAAAAUAUUACUGUUUCAUUAGCUGCUCUGGGAUCUCCUUUAACCACAGAAGAACACAAGGAAGAUCUUCUUGAAGUACUGAGUGAAGAAUAUCAAAUGAUUCUCACUACAGUAAAAACAAAAUCAGAAUUAUACAGUCUAUGUAAAGUUGAAACUAUCAUCAUAUCUUAUGAUGAUAUGCUGGACAAGUUUCGCAGAUCUACAAACUCUAUGGUACAGGCUAACUUCACCCAAUCAUCUUUUUCAUCAAUUCCUAAUACUAGCAGAGGUUUUGGAGGUUGAAGAGGUCGUGGUGGUAGAUCACAAAGAGGUGGCCAAUCUUGUUAUUCCUCACCAAGGCCACAAUGCCAAAUUUGUGGUCGCUUUGGCCAUAUUGCUUGGUAUUGUUGCAAUCGUUUUGAUUAAAACAUUCCUCCACCAUCACAAACCUUCCAAGUAAAUUAACCUGGACAAUUUUCAAAUGCUGCAAAUACUAAUUUUUCUACAACUAAUCAGAAUUUAGCCACCACACCACCACUACCUUUCCCAUCAUUCUAUAAUCCUACAACAUACAUAGCAGACCCAGGAAAUAUUUUAGAUCCUUCUUGGUAUCCAGCUACAGGGGCUUCCAAUCACAUUACACAAGACUUAUCAAAUUUUAUUUCCUCUUCAGAUUACACUGGUCCUGACAAAAUACAAAUUGGUAAUGGUGCAGGUUUGCAUAUAUCUAAAGUUAGAAGUUCUUAUCUAUAUGCUUAUGACUCAAAUAGAUUUUUUCAAUUACAGACAUUAAUAUACUCACCUGAAAUCACUAAAAAUAUAAUUAGCGUUUUUAAAUUAGCUGAAGAUAACAAUGUGUAAUUUCAAUUUCAUGCUCAUGUGUGUUUUGUUAAAUGCCAGUGGACUGAUAAGGUGCUGUUACAAGGGUAUAGAAAAGGAGGAAUCUACAAAUUCUAUGAUGUUCUUGCACCUAACACAUCUUCUAUUUUACCAAAACCAUGUGUCUUUACUGCUUCUAAGAUUUCUUUAGACUUGUGGCAUAAAAGAAUGGGCCAUACAGCCAUAAAACUGUAAUUUCUGCUCUUUCAAAUUGUAAUUCUGACUUGGUUCAUAAUAAAAAAAAGUUGAAUUCAGAAGUGUGAGAAUUGCAUGAAUGCCAAGAUUCAUAAAUUGUCCUUUACUUCAUCCAUUUACUUCAUCCCCUUACUGAUGUUUGGGGCUAAGCACCUGUGAUUUCUCACUUGGGUUUUAGAUACUAUGUGACAUUUAUUGAUGCUUUCUCUAGGUACACAUAUUUGUUUCUUCUUGUCACUAAAUCUCAAGUAUUUCAGGCUUUUAAACUCUUUAAAUAGCAAAUAGAGAAUCUCACAGGAUAUAAAAUCAAGGUUCCUCAGUCUGAUAAUAGAGGUGAGUACACCUCAAACCAGUUCACUCAAUUCAUGGCUGAAUAAGGUAUUAUUCAAAGAUUUGGUUGUCCAUACACCCCUGAACAAAAUGGCAGGGCUAAAAGAAAACAUAGGCAUCUCAUUGAGAUGAGCAUUGCUAUGUUAUCUACAGCCUCUAUGCCAUUAACAUAUUGUGAUGAAGCUGUGCUAAUAGCCACCCAUAUCAUUAAUCGCAUUCCCACCCAGAUUUUGGAUAAUAAAUUUCCAUAUGAAACACUAUUCAAAUCCACACAUGACUAUGAUCAAUUUAAAGUCUUUAAUAGUAUUUGCUACCCUUUUUUUAGACCUUAUAGCAAAACAAAACUUGAUUUUUGAUCUCAUAGAUGUAUUUUUAUUGGAUAUGCUCUAAAUUCAAAAGGCUAUAAGUGCCUUUUUCCUUGUGGCAAAAUUUACAUCACAAGACAUGUUCAAUUUGAUGAAACAUCCUUUCCUUACAAAUACUUAUUUUUUACACAUUCAUUCCCUUCUUCUUCUACACCGGAUACUUCUAUACCUAGUAUAGGUUCUGUUAUAUCCUCCACUAUUUCUAAUCACUAUUAUACUCACAUUACGAAUAAUACUUCUCUCUCUACUGCUCUUAACCUUAACAAGUUCAAUACAAUACAUGUUAGCAGUAGUAAUUAACCUCACACCAAUAAUUCUUCGUCCAACACUUCUUCCAUUAGUGCCGUCUCUAAUACUGAUCUUGCUAAUCCUAGUAAUUGUUGGAAAAACUCAACAAAGGUUCAAAUAAGAACCUGUCUAACAGCGGAAGCACCAAAAAUAAUUUUUCCACAACCUGUGUGAUUAAAUAAGCAAUACCAAAGAUACUCUAAGUAGCAAAUAUAAUGGCAAAAAUUAAAUAAUCAGACACCAGAAUUUUAACGUGGGAAAACCCCAAAAGAGGGACAAAAAAACACACGGGACCUAGUCCAAAAAAAUCUUCCACUAUCAGAAUAAUGGGUACACAAACAGUCUUCCUAGUAGCACUAGGGCAUCUUAACAAUCAACAAAAUACAUCAUCAAAACUGAUGAAAUCAACAUAAACCCUCCACAAAGUGGGUAUCUCAAAUCAGUCAAAAGAGAAGGCAAUACAACUAGCAAGUUAUAUCCUAAUGUUCAUCUCUACACCAGGAAUAAGAUACUAAAAUUUCAUAAGAAACGGAGCAAGUUUACCAGUUCAAUCGGAUCAAAGUUGGCUUGCCCUUUUCCCCCAAAUUCUUCUUCUCCUUCGACGGCUCACUGUUCCCUUUUUUCUUUUGUUUCAAAAUGAGAGAGCCUUGCUCUCAUUCUCUCUCCCUCUGUGGCUUUUUAGCCACUUCUUUCCUUUUUUUCUAAAAAACUGUGGGCCCCACUUAGUUGGAGACCCACCAACGAAUCUCCCCCUCACCAACUCAAGUGGGGAUAGGCUGCUCCACCAAGCUCGCCUUCUCUUUGCAGGAAUCAAACUUCACUAUAGGUAAACUCUUAGUCAUCAUAUCUGAAUCAUUAUCAUCAGUAUGGAUCUUCUCAAGUGCAUAUGACUUCAUCUCAAGUGCUUGACGUAUCCAAUGAUAUCUCACUUCUAUGUGCUUCGAUCUGGAAUAAAACGUCAGAUUCUUGCUGAGAUGGAUAGCACUAUGGCUGUCACAAAAUAACACAAGCUUCUCUUGAUUGAUGCCUAAAUCUUGAAGAAAUUUCUUCAUCCACAAGAGUUCCUUAGAAGCUUCAAGAACAGCAAUGUAUUCUACCUCUGUUCUAGACAAAGCAACACAUUUCUGAAUUCGAGAUUGCCACGACAUAGCUCCCCCUGCAAAUGUCAUCAUAUAACCAGAAGUAGACUUUUUUAAAUCAAGAUCCCCAGCCAUAGCUGCAUCUAUGUAACCAUCCAACAUAGGUUGGCCACUCCCAAAGCAUAAACAAACUCUGGAAGUACCAUUAAGGUAUAUGAGAAUCUACUUCACUGCUUGCCAGGAUUAGAGAGAAAACGACUAACAACUCCAACGACAUGAGCAAUAUCCGGCCUGGUGCAAACCAUAGCAUACAUCAAACUGGCAACUGCAGAUGCGUAUGGAAUCUUCUUCAUUUCUGCUUUCUCUUUCUCACUUGUAGGACAUUGCUGUGAACUCAGCUUGAAAUGACUAGCAAGUGGAGUACUAACAGGUUUGGAAUUACUCAUGCUAAACCUCUCUAAAACCUUCUCAAUGUACUUCUGCUGCGACAACCACAAUUUUUCAUUCUUCUUGUCACGAGUGAUACUCAUGCCAAAGGAUUUUCUUUACAGGACCCAAAUUCUUCAUAGCAAAGGAUCUGUUCAAGUCUUUCUUAAGACUUUCAAUCUUCUUAGGCCCAGUUUGGAUAAAUAACUUAAUUAAGUUACUUUUGAAGAAAUAGCUUAAAUAAUAAAUGCUUAUAUUAAAAGUAGCUUAUAAAUAAGUUAUUUUGUGUUUGAUUUUUUAGUUCUAAAAGUACUUAUUUUAAGAGAAAAGUGAUAAAAAGAUUUUUAUUAUGAGAGAAGUCAUUUUUUUAACUUCUCCUUAAGCACCAAAAUAGCUUUUUAGAAAGUUGCAAUUUUAUUUUAAAAAUUGUACCAGACAUUAAUACUACACCUUUUCAUAAGUUAAAAGUUAAAAAAAGUCACUUAUGAACCUAUCCAAACGGGCCCUUAGUGUCAUGACCAACAAUCAACAUAUCAUCAACAUAAAGCAAGAGAAUUAUAAAAUCACCAUCAGAGAAUUUCUUAACAUAUACACAAUGAUCAGAAGAAGUUUUACUAUACCCAUGACCUUCCAUGAAGGAAUCAAACUUCGUGUACCACUGCCUUGGCGCUUGCUUCAACCCAUAUAAGCUCUUCUUCAACUUGCAUACAAGGUGCUCCUUUCCUUUAACCUCGAAACCCUCUGGUUUCUCUAUAUAAAUUUAUUUAUCUAUGUCACUGUGAAGGAAUGCAGUCUUCACAUCAAGCUGCUCAACCUCUAAAUUCAAGCUAGCCGUCAAUCUAAGCACAACUCGAAUAGAGGACAUCUUCACAACUGGAGAGAAAAUCUCCUCAAAAUCAAUACCUUUCUUUUGCUCAAAACCUUUCACAACCAAUCGAGCUUUGUACCUUGGUCGUGAGACAUUUUCAUCCGCUUUCAAUUUGAACACCCAUUUAUUCUUGAAUGCUCUCUUACCCUUCGACAACUUCACCAAUUUAAACGUAUGAUUCUCAUGCAAGGAUUUCAUUUCUUCUUGCAUGGCCUUCAACCAAUAUCCUUAUGCUCAUCAAAUAUAGCUUCCUGGUAGCUCUCUGGCUCUCCAGUCUCAGUGUUCAUCACAUACUCAUGAGGAGAGUAUUUCGAAGAAGGAUGACGCUCUCUAGUAGAUCUUCUCAAUUUAGUCUCAACUGGUGGUUCAGGUGGAACUUUAACAUCUGGCACCUCAGGUUGAGGUGUAGGUUCAUAAUACAAAUCAUCACCAUCAUUAUCAACGUGUACAUCUCCCCCAUCAACAGGAGGUCUAGUGGAAGGACCAGGUUCAUCAUCAGCAGAACGUCUAACAGUUAUUGGCUUAUCUGUCUUCUCAAGAUCUUCAAUAGUUUGGUCUUCAAGAAAAAUCACAUCUCGGCUUCUAAUUAUCUUCUUGCUCACCAGAUCCCAUAAUCUGUAACCAAAGUCUUUGUGACCAUAACCCAUGAAGAUACACUGCUUUGACUUUUCAUCAAGUUUAGACCUUUCAUCUCUUGGAAUGUGAACAAAAGCCCUGUAGCCAAACACUCGCAAAUGACUAUAGGAGACAUCUUUCCCUCUCUAAAAUUUCUCUGGAACAUCACCAUUUAGUGGAAAUGAAGGAGAAAGGUUGAUCAGAUCUACUGUAGUCCUCAUCGCUUCACCCUAAAAGGAUUUAGGCAACUUUGCAUGAGAGAGCAUACACCUGACUCUAUCAUUGAUAGUGCAAUUCAUUCUUUCUACAACUCCAUUAUGUUGAGGAGUCUUAGGAACCGUCUUCUCAAGUUUGAUCCCAUGUCCUUUACAAUACUCUUCAAACAGACCCUUGUAUUCACCACCAUUAUCUGCUCGAACACAUUUCAAUUUUCUUUUUGUUUCUCUUUCAACACUUGCAUGAAAGUGUUUGAAGAUACCGAGCACCUGGUCUUUAGAUUUCAAAACAAAAGCCCACACUUUUCGAGAAUAAUUAUCAAUAAAAGUAAUAAAAUAUGAUGCACCAUGAAUCUGAAAUCACUCAACAAACAUAUCAAGGCAUCGAAUGAAAUUAAAGUGAAUUAAAUCUAGCUAUUUUAAGCCCCAAAAAGCAUGUUUUUACACUUAAGCACAAAUUAAGGGAGAAUUACAAAACCAUGCUAUUUCAUUGAAUAAAUGUGAGAAAAGUUGUUAAAAUUCCCUAAAUUAAGCACAAGAUAAACCACAAAAUUAGGGUUUAUCACACCACCUAGUGUCUUAGCAUCCAUAGUACAAACAUUAGUGUGAACUAAAUCUAGAACAUGUGAUCUCCUAUGAGGUCCAGAACUAUGAAAUGAUACUUUAGCAUGCUUUUCAACAAAACAAUGAGUGCAAGUAUUUAAAGUUGUACCUUUCACGGGAAGUGAGUGUUUCUUGGCUAAGACGCUUAAUCCUUUCUCGCUCAAGUGGCCAAGACAUAUGUGCCACAAAUCAGAAGAGGAAUCAUCAGCUACAUUCACCUCUUCUUUGCACAACUCUGCUUGCAACCGAUAGAGAGUAGUGAGACUAUUGUCUUCUUUAGUAACAAUGAGAUCCCCUUUGGUAAUCUUGCAUUUUUCACUACCAAAGGAAGUACAAUAUCCCUCUUGAUCCAAUGCCUUCGCUGAAAUGAGAUUGAACCGCAUAUCUGGCGCAUGCCUAACAUUCUUCAACUGCAACUUGCAUCCCAUGUUAGUUUCAAGCCACAUAUCACCCAUACCAAUGAUAUCACACACUCCUUUAUCUCCCAAUUUGAUCUUGCCAAAAUUUCUAGCAGUAUAGGAAGUGAAAAAUUCACGUUUUGGAGUGACAUGACAUGAGGUACCAGAGUCCAGAAUCCAAGUAGAAUCAUCACAGACAAGAUUCACAUAAUUUUUAUCAUAUGUGAUAAGAACAUCUUCAUAAACAAUAGCAGCAGUUUCUUUAUCACUAUCUUUACCUUUGUCUUUGUUUUUUUCCUUUGAUUGUUCUCUUUUCAAGAACCUACAAUACCUCUUGAUAUGCCCCGGCUUGCCAUAAUGGUGACAAAUGAACUCCUUUCUUGGCUUGUACUUUCCUCUUGACUUGCUUCGACUCUCUGACUUGUCAAAACUGUGAGGUUUUCUUCUUUGACUUCUUCCCCGUGACUCUGAAACAAGUGCUUCCGACUGGGAGGAGGCAUUAGUCAAACUUCACUCUCUUCUUCUGGCUUCUUCAUUUAACAUGCUCUCUUUAACCAUUGCUAAUGUCAACUUUUCAUUUGAAGCUGAGUUAGUCAGUGUCACAACCAGAACUUUCCAACUAUCAGGCAAAGAGCUCAACAACAACAAGGCUUGCAAUUCAUCAUUCAAAGUGAUUUCAUUAUUUGUCAGUAGGUUCACCGUCUCCUAAAAAAUGCUCAAGUGCUCCAGCAUUGAUUUACCUUCAAUAUACUUCAUAUUGACAAGCUUCCUAAUCAAGAAUGCUUUGUUUUGCACAUUCUUUCUCUCAUAUAACUCCUUCAAUUUGUUCUACAUCUUCUCGACAUUCGUUUCGGUAUCAACAUGUGGAUACAUGCUAAGAUCAAGCCAUUGCCUAAUCAAAGCAACUGCCUUCCGAUUCAGCUUCUUCCAUUCAGCAUCGGAUUUAGUACCUUUGGAUUUAUUUCCCUCCACAGGAUCAUACAAGUCCUUUCUAUACAACAUAUCUUCCAUGAGGGUCUUCCAAAUUAAAUAAUUUUGGGAAUUCAAUUUGACCAUAUUUGGUCCAUGAGUAUUUUUCUCCAUUUAAUUAGCACAGAAAUAAACAACCAAAGCUCUGAUACCACUUUGUUAGGAAAACUCAACAAAGGUUCAAACAAGAACCUGUCUAACAGCAGAAGCACCAAAAAUAAUUUUUUCACAACCUGUGCGAUUAAAUAAGCAAUACCAAAGAUACUCCAAGCAACAAAUAUAAUGGUAGAAAUUAAAUAAUCAGACACAAGAAUUUUGACGUAGAAAAACCCCCAAAAGAGGGACAAAAAAACCCACGAGACCUAGUCUAGAAAAAUCUUCCACUAUCAGAAUAAUGGUACACAAAUAGUCUUCCUAGUAGCACUAGGGUAUCUCAACAAUCAACAAAAUACAUCAUCAAAACUGAUGGAAUCAACAUAAACCCUCUACAAAGUGGGUAUCUCAAAUCAUCCAAAAGAGAAGGUAAUACAACUAGCAAGUUAUAUCCUAAUGUUCAUCUCUACACCAGGAAUAACAUACUAAAAUUUUAUAAGAAAUGGAGCAAGUUUACCAGUUCAAUCGGAUCAAAGUUGGCUUGCCCUUUUCCCCCAAAUUCUUCUUCUCCUUUGACGACUCACUGUUCCCUUUUUUAUUUUGUUUCAAAAUGAAAGAGCCUUGCUCUCGUUCUCUCUCCCUCCGUGGCUUUUUAGCCACUUCUUUCAUUUGUUUUAAAAACUGUGAGUCCCACUUAGUUGGGGACCCACCAACAGUAAUCUUCAAUCUAAUAUACCAAAUAUCACUCCUAUCUCAGGAACACAUAUAAGCCUCCCUCCCAUUGAUCCUAAUGGUAAUCCAAAUCAACUUUAUAAAUUUCCUCAUGACAAUACCUCUAACUGAUAAUCAUCAUCCCAUGCUUAGAAGGUCUAAAACUAAAAAUUCUAAACCAAAAGCCUGUAUCACUAAGACAUUUUCUGACGCCUCUAUAAAACAGCCACCUAAAAAUUCCUCUACUGCAUUAGCCAUUUCACAUUGGAAGAAUUCUAUGCAAUAACCUAACACAUUAGUCAUAGUGAGUUCAGUAGUCUAAUCCGUUUAGUCACCACUGAAAGAAAUAACCUAACCUAAUAGAUCAAUUAAACGUUAAAUUAUUUUGUUGGACUCUAUAAUUAUACCAAAUUUAUAAUUAGGUCUCUAUAUUAUUUUUUUCUUUUAAUUGGGUCCUUAUUAGUUUUAUAAUUAUUUUGUUGGUCUCUAUAGUUAUACCAAAUUAAGUCACAACAGAAUAUUUUUUGCGUAAAGUAAACAUAUCUAUAAUUAAAAAUCUAAUUAAAUAUCUUACCACAUAUUUUUUGGGAGAAAUAUUCUAUUACUUUAAACAUUUUUGACACAGAAAUAAUUCUAAUUAUAAAAUUAAAAAAUAGUAUAGAAAUUCAGUUAAAAAAAAAUAUACAACGUAUUUGAAAACUUGUAAUGGUAUAGAAUUAAAUUUCAAUAUUUGGAAUGAAUUAGUAAAACUACAGAAUUGAAUUGAAUUCUAGGGACAACUUUAUCCUUUAUUAACAUAAUAUCAUAUUAAAAUAAUAAAUAUGCUUAUUUAUUAAAUUAUAUAUAAAAUAAUUAAAAAAUUGUAUUUUUCAACUAACAUUUUUUUCAACUAAAAUUUGUUCAUAUCUUUUAAAAAAAACAAAAAUUGACUUUGAUUAAGUUAACCUCUUCAACAAAAAUAAACAGAUAGCAAAACUAACUAUAAAUACAAAUUCUAGUUGUUUUACAAGUCCAUUAAAUUGAAAACAUCAUUAGAAAAAUACUUUAAUAUAAUUACCAAUUAUAAGAGUCUCAGAUUAUUUUCGAGUUAUCACUUGAGCAUGAAUAUCCAGAAAUUAUAUUGUCAUACCAAACUCUACAAUUGAUUCUAUAUAUAAGUUGACCUAUAAAAAUCAACAAGUAUACAAAAUAGAAAAAUAGAUAUUGUCUUUAUUUUAAUUUUUUUUAUUUUUAUUCUUCUCAAACAGGUUAAAGAAAAAUAGGUUCACAUAUUUAACCAAUAGCUGUAAAAAAAAAUUCUCUACUAAAAUUAGACUAUACUAAAUAAUAGACUAAGUUUAUUGUUUGCUAUGGUACAAGUAAUUGAAUAAAUAUAUUCAAUUUUAACUAAAAUUUAGAAAAGCACGCACGCAUACAAAAUUAACGUUGUAUAUAUAAUUGUGUUCUUGCAUAUAUAGCAUUGUCAGCACUGAAAAUGACAAUGUAAGAUAUUUUCUUUUGAUAUCUUGUAUUAUCCAUAUAGUUUUUUGGAAAAAAAAAUUCACAGGAAUCUGAGUAUUUGCCACUUGAGAUUUUUUUUUUUAUUUGAAUAUAUGUAUCUUUUCAUUUGUUAAUGGUAUUCGUGGCUCUGUGCAACAAAAACUGAAUUGAAUAAUAAGAAAAACAUAAACUCAAAACAACGAGAGUUGUUCUUAAAACAGGAUUGAAUAAUGAUAUUCUAGCUCUAUGUGGUUUUAGAGUUGUUCUUGCUUGAAUUUUUUUUAUUUUUAUCAUUAUUGUCCAUCAUGCCUCACCAAAAGAACGAAUUUUUAAAAUUUAAAAAGAAGAUACUAUGAACAAAAAAAAAAAAAAUGGAGAUAGAAAAAAAAUAUACGAAAAAGAUAAAGAUUUGGAAGUUAGGAUUUUAUAAGUGUAAACGGAUGAAUUUGAAUAUUUUAGCCAAAUUUUGGACACAAUUUGAAUUGAAAUUAUUGUGUGUCCACAUCAGCAUGUAUCAAACUACCAACUUAAAACUUAGCUGUUCACAUCCGAGACAUUUAAACUUCUAGUAACUUUUGGACUAACGAAAAUUCACGUUUUUUAUAGUAGGGAAUAUAUUUGGUCAUUUUAAAAAGUGAUAUUUUAUGCAAAUUGAAAAUUACAGGGACUAUUUUAGGUAUUACCUUUAAUUUUAAUAUACAUGUAAUAUAAUUAAUGUAACACCCUAACUUCUAGCAUCACGAUCGUACCAAAAGUAAGGCGUUAUUAACCUAAUUCCUUUUAUUAUCUAUUUAAUAUUGAGCCUUUACGCGUAAAUCUAUCGAUGGUUUUACUAAAACUAUAAAUUUUUCAACAAGUGCAAACAACACAUAUUCACAUACUUAAUAUUAAUAAUACGUUAUAGUAGUGUUAUAUACAAAAGAAUUUACAAAACCUACCCCUCUGAAUAAAAGUCUAACUAAUAAGGCGAGGAAAAAAAAAAGUUCUAACAACUCAACUCGUAAACAUAUUCCUCUGUACUCCUGCAACUUCGCAAUAAGCCUUCACACCUGUAGUUGAAAGGGGGUGGAGAUAGGGGGUAAGAAUUGGGGAGUUCUUAGUAGGGUCGGAGUUAGGAGUUAAGUUCGUUUCAUUAUGUUCUCAGUCAAUAAUAACAGUCAACAAAGUAUAAUCCAACUCAGCAAUUACAGAAUACAGAAUCCAAUCACAAGCACACACAAUCAUAGAAAACACAAUCACAAACAAAUAUGCGCAAACAAAUAUGAUGCAUGUCUAGUCCUAUACAGGCCAUGAGCUCAUGUGUCAGUUUGUUGCCCGAUUUUCGACACUGGUCCUGAGAUAAGCGUUUCGUACUGCCGCCCUUAUCUCAGCCAACGUCCCCUCCAUGAGCGUUACGCAUCGCCGUCCUCACGGGAGAAACCUUCCUUUCGGUCUCCACUGAGCGUUACGUAUCGCCGUCCUCACUGAGCCGUCCUUAUAGUAUCAAGUGAGCGUUACGUAUCGCCGUCCCCACUAGACACUUGGCACUAAAGCCCAAACAGCACUCAAUUUCUUUUCAAACUUUGCUCUCUACUCUACUGUGGCAGAUUCCUUUAAUUAAUAUAUUCCCUUCUCUUAUAUUCUCUGCUCUCAUGUGGUAGAGGUUAUUUAGUUUCUUUUAUUCUUUUAAUUCUUUUGUUCUCGGUUAUUUAUUAAAUUAUAUUUUUACUUAACUCAGCAACCUUUGUCUGCGUUUGGCUUCCAGUGUCAUAACCUUUAUAAGCAACCUCUGUCUUACAGGUGCGAAUCUCUUAAGCCUAUGCAUGCAAAAAAAACCUCUAUAAGCAACCUCUGUCUUACAGGUGAGACUCUCUCUAGCCAAUGUAUGUAUUGAUAACCUCUGUAAGCAACCUCUGUCUUACAGGUGCAACCAUUCCCUGGAGUAGCCGAUGUAUAUCUGGAAAGCGAAUCUCAGUGGGCUCACCACCGUAUCUUUACUUAUCUCAUUUUAUUUUCGUUCUUUCUUUCUUUUUUUUCUUUCUUAUCAUUUCACAAUAUAAAUUGUCUUUGCAUUAUUCCCCCGCCUUUCCCUAAGUAUCUUAUAGAAAGAGUAUAAAUGGUUCUUAAUUUAGAUUUGUCUUUCUAAAGUUUUUAGGACAGUUUUCUACUUACCCUUUUAGUAUAUCAUAAAUAAAAUAAUAUAUUUAAAUAAAAUACUAAUAUAUAAUAUAUUUCAAAAAUACAUUGAUAAUAAUCUUAAUAAAUUAAUAACAAUAAUAAUGAUGGUAUCUUUGAGCUUCCUAAAAUAUUUAUAUUCUUACCCCAACACAUUUUAUAUUUUAUUAAAAUAUUCUUACAUAUAAUAUAAUUACCAAAAUAACCUUAAAUCUUUUAUAAAAUAUCCCUUUUAUUUAUAAACUUUUUAAUUAUUACCCAAAAUAUCCAAAAACGUAUAUAAUUACAAAUAGUACCUCAAUUUUUAUAUACAAAUACAAUGUUACCCUUCAAAAAUAAAAUUUAAUUACUAAUCUUUAUUUUAUACCAAAAUCGGAACCCUUAACCUUUUUCUCUUAAAAUAUUACUUGUGCUUAAAUCCAUUCUCGAAUUUUUCGAUUACCGAUUUUUUAUAACUUUUAAUCUUUUCUCUUGGCCAUCAAAUCUCACCAAAUUUAUCUCAAAAUACCAUACCACAACAGCUCCAAAAUCACCAAAACACCCCAACUGGCUGUUCAUACAUAGCCGACCCAACAAAUCACAAGCGACAACAAUAAUUUAACAUAAACUCAUUUAAAUUUAAACAAUAAUCAACCAAAUCAACAUUCACUUAUCAAAUUCACAUUUAAUUAUUCUAAAGUUACCAAAAUCCUACCUCCGUACGAAAUCAAACCAACAGAAUCUUCGAAAAAGUUUUUUGACCAAGCCGCUGAUGAAGAAGAAAACGUCAGGAAUCGUCUGCGCAUCCUAGAACUCCAAUUGACUAAACUCAAAGAGAUACGGAGCUACGUCACUGUCAACUUCUACUGGAUAAAAGUAACGCCAAUGUAUAGAGAAGAAGGAUACGAAUACUUUUACCAGAUUAGAUUUUUUAUUGGAGUUACGAAUCUCAAAAAAUUAGAGCCGGAAAGUCAUAGCUUCCAUGGAAUCCCACACGGCCUUCUCUCUUUUUUUUUUGUUUUUCUUUCUUCUUGCUUCGCGGUUAAGAAGAGAAAACGAGAUGUUGAUGGUGAUGAUUAAUGAAAAGGGGGUUAUGUGUCAUAAUAUUUAUUAAGGGAAUGGAUAUAUAUACAUAUGUGUCAUUGUUAUAUUAAUGCAUGGGCAUAUAUUUACAUUACUAAUCUUUCUUUUUCUUUUACUAUGGUUCGGUCAUGCAAUAGUGAUCCUAACUAAAGCAUGAUGAUUAGAUGUCAAAGGUUAUAUAUAUACACAUUAAGCCUACGUAUAUAUGCAUUAAGCCUGCGUUUUCUUACUUCUUUCCUUUUCAUUCUUUUAUUGGCUUCGGNNNNNNNNNNNNNNNNNNNNNAUUAAAAGAAGUAUUCUUAGACUUGUUUAAAGUGCAAGAUUUGAAUAGUUGAAAAAAAAACAAAUUCAAUGGUUGCAAAUUAUAUAAAUAGUUAUGCCUAUAUUUAUUGUCAUGUUAAAAUCUGAUAGAAUUGUUUUUUCAUAUAAGAAAAAUUAAUAUUCUAAAUUUUGUUUUCCAAAUAUUCUAAUUUGUGUACUUUUGUUUCUCUGUCACCAAGUGCCAAUUAUAUUGUUCUAACUAUGCACAAAUCAUUAUUUUUGUGCAAACAUGUAUAUAUUAUAACAUAAUUCUUCUCUUGUAAAUAAAUCCAGUUAAUUCUCAAAUUCAUCUUUAAAAAAUAACUAAUUUUUAAAUUAAUCUUUAAAAAAAUUUAUUAGUCAUAUUAGAUUUUAAAAGACAUAAUCAUAAGUUAGAUCAAUUUUUCAAUCAAUUAGAUAAUGAUAUUACGUUAAACAUUACGGACAUCACAGACAUGAUGACAAAGUUAGUUAGAUAAUAAUGCAUCACAUUAAGUAUCUUGUAUGCCAUGAUGACAACAGGUUAAUACCACCUAUCAAAAAAUGAUUGAUUAAUAUGUCAUGUCAAGUUAAAAUAUAAGAAUUAUUUUAUGACAUGUUAACCUUUCAUGCACUACAAGAAAAACACACAUUCAGGUACAUUUGAAAAGUGUAGCCAAAAGUGAAAAAAAAAUGAUUUCUUAGGCUAUGGCUACGCUUUCUGGGCUACGGCUAUGUUUUUUGGGGUGAUUUCUAUUCGACCGUUGCCUAUUCUCAAAGGCUAUGCUUUUUUGCACCAAGGGCUACGCUUUUGGCGUUUGGGAAUAGGGUGCGUUUUUCAAGUGAUGCUGUCCAGGACCAAAGGCUACGCUUUUCAGCUUCUAUUUUUGCCAGAAUAGGCUACGCAACGCUACUGCAUCACUUGUAAAGCGUAGCCACAUUGUAUACCAUAUACCAUCUCUAUAUAAGUGUAGCCUUAGGUCUCUCAUUAUUUUUUAAUAUAUAUAUAUAUAUUCUAAUAAUUUUUUCUAUAACCUAAUAUUUAGUAAUAUGAUUAUAUAUAUAAUCGUGCAUUUUUAAUUAAAUUAGUCAAAUAUAAAAUAAAAAUAAAUACACAAUAAUGCUAUAUAAUAUUCUUCAAAUAAUAAAAAUUAUACUNNNNNNNNNNNNNNNNNNNNNNNNNNNNNNNNNNNNNNNNNNNNNNNNNNNNNNNNNNNNNNNNNNNNNNNNNNNNNNNNUCAUAUCACCAAGAUGAUGAUGACAAACUAUUACUUAACACCAAACAACAUCAAUCUCACAUAUGCUUAAAUUCCACGCUAGGAGUGAACUUUCAUUUACUUCCAUAUAUCACUAUCAUUGACAUACAACAUCUGCACAAAAGCAUUGGACAGUAUCUGCUGUUAAAACUGAGACUUGUCAAGACUGUCAAAGUAAGGAUGAUCAAGUGCUGCCUUGGCAGAGAUUCUCUCAGCAGGAUUAUACUUGAGCAUUUUUUGCACGACAAAAUAUCUAGUAUAGUCAGUCCUAAGUUUGUACAGAAGAUAAGUAAACGUAUUAUUAUAGCCAAAUUAAAGGUAACAUGAAUUUUAGUUAUUUCAAAUGCUACAAUAGAUAAUACUUCCCAAGCAACACCUUGUGAGCUACUUCAAAUAACUUAUAAAACUUUAGAUAUAUUACUAUGUAGAGUACUGUUUAACAAAUGCUAUUCAAGUACAGUCCAGACCAGUUCAACCUUUAAACUAAUAUUAGAACUGCGAGUUUCUACCGCUAUUAGAAUGUAAAGUGAGAAAGUGAGAAACUAAUCAUCUUGCACCCUUGCAUCAAUAACUUCAUUGUGUUUAGGCCCUAACAUUGUUGCUUUACAGUUAUCUGUCCUCACUUUAGAGGAUCCUAUUCUUAGGAACUCAUUAGAAUAAUGCUUUUAUAGAGGAACACAAACCGUGAGAAGGUCUACUCCAUCAGGUCCCAAAGUUGGCACAGUCCUCGCCAAGUUCUGAGGUUCCCACUUUGGGUAGGUAUGCCAAUCACGAAGCAAAGUAACUCCUGGCCAUUGCUUCUCAGUUGGAGUUCCCAAAAUCCUGGAAAGAUCAAAUUCAAAAAAAAGUAGUUAGUAUGAGAGUGAAAAAACAGCAGAAAAAAUUUUCUUUUCCUAUGAUCACCAUAUAUUUCAGAGCAGAUUUCUUUAACACUGGUCUAUUCAAAGUUGUUAUUAGAUUCUUGUACAUAAGGCUGAGUAAAAGAGCAGCAAUGUCAAGCGGUUAAUAUUGCAAUCUGGCUUUUCCACCAAGUAAGUUUCAAAGAAGUACAUAAAGAUAUUAAAAUCCUAUAUGUUUCUGACAUGUAAUAUUAUCACAGUCAUACACAGAUUAAAAUCAUUUUCAGAUGGGGCACAUGACAACUCAAAGUUUCUUUCCAUUUCAUUUUAAUUUCGUGCAUCAGUAACUUGCAAAGUAGUACAACACGAAAUGAAAAAUCUGAACAGACAAUGAGUCUAACUCAUUUAUUGAACAAAUUUUGGCAUGAAACUGAAAUGCAGAAACCAUAAUACCUGACUUCAAUUUCUCAUCCGGCCCAGUCAAGGGCUUUCUGAGCUGGUUCGGUCAAUGGAGGAUGCUCGGGGCUAAAGAAAUACAAGUCAGAUUUCCCAAGUAGCUCUGUUAUUUCUUCUGGUACUUUGAAAAGAGAAAUUCAAUUGGCUCUCAAGAAUUUUGCAGCUUUACUUGUUCCUAAAAGAAUACAAAAAAAAAAAAUUAUUUUAGUGCUUAUGAGUAGAAGAAAGGCACAGAGCUAUAAAUUUAGAAAAUGGAUUCAUUCAACUUCAUGAAAUCAAGAUGGAAGGACAUUGCUGCAAAUCAAAUUUCAUUUAGUAUCUAAUCUAAAUUCCGACCUGAUCUUCCCACGAUCUACAACCAUAAAAUUUUAAGCAUAUUAAAAUUCUAAACUUAAUCCACCAAACUUUUAACUAUAGCUGAUGCAUCUGCAUUACUCAAUAGUAGUCCAAGUUUAAAACUAUUGCUUAUUUAAGCAUCCACACAACAUAAACCACUAAUUCACAAAUGUGGUAUAAGGAUAUUAGAUAAACAAGCUAAUAUUAUGAAAUAUUGAGUGUAUAAGCAUAAGGCCAUGGCAAAAAAAGAACUAAUAACUAUGCAAAUGAGCAGUUCCAAAAAAGGAACAAAACAAUGCAUCCAGCCAUCAUGAUCAGAUCAGAGUAAAGAAAAAUAAGAGUCAUAAGAGCAAUGCACAAUUUUCUAAUAAUCUGUUCUCAUGAAGGCUCUUUAAAGGAAAAUGAUUUUGCACUCAGUUAAUUUUUGGGUGGUGGGGAGGUGAGAUAAAAAUCGAACACAACCCUCGGAUUUCAUGGCCAAAAGCAAAUUCAUAUACAGCUUUUGCAGCAAGCUUUAUGUACAUCCUUUGUGCACCAUUUACAACCAGCAGUGAGGAUCAUUAAACGGUAAUUGUAGAUAUGGAUUCAAGUUAGAUUCAGAAUUCAAUUAUGUAAUCUACAAACCAAAUAAAUUGAAGCUUGCCGAAGACCCCCCAACAAAAUUCACAUGAUUAAAUUUUUCAAAAAACUCUAUUUUACUCUGUAUUAUAAUUUAGAUUUGAAACAAUAAAAGUAGCAUGCAUAGCAAUCACCAAUUAAAAAUUUCUUAGCUAAGACUACAGAAAUUUGCUGCUGAAACAGCUAAGCUAAGACAAAAUUUUUCCCAUCAAUUGUAUGUUAAAUUAGUCCGAAACUCUGUUUCAAUUCCAUGCUAAAGUUUUGCAAAAAAAUCCUAAAAAAUAACUAAAGUACUAUCUCUAAUUCCAGAUAAAGUACUAGUAAGGAAUGGAAGUAUUAACAUCAACAAAACACAUUAACUUUCUGGUUCAAAUAUAGAACAUAUAAUUUUAACCAAGCCUAACCACAACACUAUCUCACAUCUCCUACCCAACUUUUCAAGAAAACAAGACAACACAUGAUGAUUUCAUUUGUUUUAUGCCCAAAAUUCGAAAACAAAAUGCAAAAUCAACAAACCCUAACAAAGAAAGAUGCAAAAUCAUAAAGCAAAAUGCAAAAUAAAAAAGAAAACUCUAACAUAGUAAGAAGCAAAAAUUACAAAAGAUUGUAGAACUCCAAAAAUCAGAACAACAAACCCUCAAAAAAAUCACAAAACCAGAAAAUUCAUACACACCAUUGUCUCGGUUCAUCGUCACUACCAUAUCAGUUCUCCAUCGCGGUGAGUGAAGAUGAACCAGUUACAAACAAAGAGUGGGGAAAGAGGCAUACCAACAGUCUCGUUGCUGCUUGAUGUUUUGAUUUGAGUUAUCUCCUCCGCUGCUUGAUACACAAAAUCGCAAGAAAAGACAAUAGACGAACGAACCUGGGGCUUGUGGUGAACGAACCUAGAAGAAUGAGUUCUCCUAUGCCACAACACAAAAUCACAAAAUCAAUUCAUGAGUUCACAGAUUAUCGUACCAAACCCCCAAAUUGAAACCCUAAAAUUGGAACCCUACAUUCUCAAAUUUCAGAAAACCAAAUGAAGGUGGAUGCAUACCUUCUCGACGAUGGUGAGCAAAUGAAGAGAGGCUUUCAGUUGAGCGCAACGUCUUCCUGAUGUGAGCGCACAACGAAGAGAAGCGACGGUGCGGUGAAGAUGAGUGACGGCGUGGUGAGUGGUGAAGAUGAGUUAGUGUAGAGUCUUCCUGGAGGUGAGUGGUGACGCCGUGAGUGGUGUGGUGAUGGCGGACCCUUUCUCUGAUUUGGGGUGAUGAGUGGCGCGAAGAAGAAGGGAAAAGCUAACAAGGGUGAUGAUGAGUGUUACGUUUCAUUCGCGAUUUGGUGAGGGUUUUCGCGAUGGUGAGGGUUUUCUUCUCUGAAAGGGUGAUGAUGACGAGCUUUGGAGGGAAUGGGUAACAAUUUCACUAAGUUAAGAGGGAAAAAAUGUGAGCUGGGUGUGCGUACUUGCGGGGAAAGUUAAGAGGAAAAAAAUUCACUAAGUAUCAAAUUUUUUGUUCUAGAUACAUUAGGCAUCACUUUUAAAACGCACCCAAAACUUAACAAAUAGGCUACCCUCUAAAAGCGUCCUCUUUGAUACGAAAAGUGAACCUAUAGAUAUCAACCUACGGCUACGCUUUAUAAGUGAUUUCUAUAAUACCUAAGGCUACACUUUUUAAAUGAUGCCGCAAUUGUGUAUCCUUUUCUCUUAUAAAAAGGCAACACGGAAAAAAGCGUAGCCUAUUCAUAGAAUAGGCUACGCUUUUCAAAUGUAGCUUAAAAAAGUGUGGCUGAAUAGGUAUUUUUCUUGUAGUGUCAUGUCAUCGCACUACUAAAAAAGUUAGUUUUAGCGACAAAUUUUUAGUGGCCAUAAUACAAUAGUUACUAUUAAUUUUAUUUAAGUUAUGUUUUAGUGGCAAUUAUACAUUUGUCGUUAUUAUUAUAUUUUAUAAUUGCAAUGAUACCUAUUGCCACUAAAUUAUUACUAUCUUUUUAUUUUAGUUCUAAUUUUUUUACAUCAACAACGGCAAUUACCAUUAUUGCCGCUAAAUUUUUUAUUUUAUUUUUAUUUUUAUUUUCAUCGUCUUCUUCCAUCAAUUGCCAAACAUACUAAAAAACUCUCCCACCCUAAAUCAGAAACUCACAACAGCACAACCUCAAGCAUUCCCUUUAUCGCCGACCACUGUCGCAGACCCUGCCAUCGCCGACUUCCGUUCAUCAUUCAAACUGCAUGGUUGUUCCUAUUUUCAUCCUCCGCCUCAGAUCCGCAUUGCUGUCUUCAUUUCUUCGUUCGUCUCAGAUUUAUGUCGCUACGGCAGAACUGGCAACACUUUCAUCUUGGCAGCAAGGAAGUUCGAUGCGGAGGUUGAGGAGCUUCUUGAUUGGAUGCUCGCUGCAAAAUUCCAAGCUUGAGCCCUUGUUCUCCAAGCUCUUCCUUCUCUGCAUUUCUCUUCUCCUCUCUCUCUCUUUCUCAAUUUUAUUUGUUAGCAAUUUUGAGUGUUUUAGUAUUCAAAUUUGAAGAUGCUACUGCUAAUUUAUUGAAUCUGUUUAGUUGAUUACAUUUCACUUUUUGCAACCCUAAUUCUGAUGUUACGCCACUGCUAUUGUGAGUGCAGGAUUUUGAUGACAUGGAUAAGCGCUUGAAGGAUAUAGAAGAUGAAACUGCUGCUAUUAAAGAGAUGCAAGCCAAGGUCAAGAAGGAGAUGGGAUCUGCUCAGGGUAGCUAUUUUAAUUUUUAUUUUGUAAAUGAUUUCUCGUUCUGCAUUGAUCAUAGCUUGAGAUUUGUCAUUUUUUGAUAAAUUUAUCAAAAAGGAAAUGAAACUUGCUAAUGAUAAAUUUGUCAUUUUUUGAUGAUAUUGUAUAUAGAUGCAGGUAGUAGUGUAUGUUAUUGAGAGAUAAGCUAAGAUCGAUCAAGGAAUCAUUCAUCAAUAAUAAUGAACUAAUCUUCAAACAAUAAUAACUGGCUUUCAUUCCCUCUUUCACCAACUCAUCAUCAAGUCACUACUCAUUUGUGCUAUUCUUUAACAUUUCAUUGGCAUGUUUCUAUGAAUUGUUCAUUCCUUCGUUAAUGAUUGCUUCACUAAGUGAAUCAAAACCUAGUAGUUCAACAAUUGAGGCUCCACUGACUAUACAUGCUCCAAUUUGUAAUUCAUCUAAAACUUCUAACAAGGGCUCACAAUCCUCUAGUUUGAUGCAUGGAACAAAGAUUAUUUUUCUGAUUACUAUUAAGAGACAGACACUGCCAGCUGUAUCAUUGACAGAUAAUAUUGAAAGCAAGGGAUUAGAUGGUAGCAACAUGGCUUCCAAAAAGAGGAAAAUAGCAUGGUCAGAGAAAAAGGACAAUCUGCUACGAGAUGUUGUUCAAAGAUUUGGUGAAGGGCAUUGGGCUACCAUUGCAAAAGGAGGCAACUUUCCUGUUAAGAGAACUACUAAACAGACAGAUCAAGUAACUAUUUCAACUUUAGCUUGCAAAUUAUGUGAUCUUUAUAUCAACUGUUGUUAUUUAGUUUCCCAGUAUGCAAGUGAAUGUUUAAUUCAGUGUAAAGCAACAUGUAUGUGCAGAAGAAAUAUGUUAUUAGAAGUGGCAAUGGUUGGAGACAAUAACAGCAGCCUGUAUGUCUUAGUACUACCACUGUUACUACACUUUGAUCUAUGAAUAUGUUAUUGUUGCAAAAUACAAAUGGCGUGUGAUUUAAAGUUGAAAAGAAAGUUGGUAUCUUUGAUGCAGGAUGCUGAUGUGGAAAGAUGGGUUCUGCCAAGGAAGGAGUGCAAGUUUGGUAGAAGACAUGGAUAGAAGAGGAGAGGAUCCAGUGAAAAAGGCCUUCAGCAAGAUGUCCAUUCAGUUAUAUAAUUAUGGAGAAAGAUGGGUACUGGGUAGGUCAUUGUUUUGUGAAAAUCUCCAUGUUGUGUCUGUCUCUAAUUGGGUGUCAACGAAUUAAUCUUAAUCUUAAUCUUAAAGUUUGGGUGGAAACAGAUUGAUGAAAAAGUUGCAUCGCAUAAGUGCCACAAGUGGGUCUUUAAAGAGCCCACAAAAUGUGAGCCUAAUAUCUCCAACUAAUGGCAGAGCUCCUUUGAUGCUCUCUCGCUCUCAUUAUUUUCUUCUUUGCUUUUAGCUUCAAAUAAAACAACAUAACCCACCAUUUAAAUCUUGUUUCUAUUGUUUAUGUGUACCUAUCUCAUAAUUGAUUGAUUGAUUCAUCCCAAUUUUUUUUUUCUUUUUGGCCUUAUUUAUUACAACUUCCUCCUGAAUAGACCAACCAGUUUGAUUCUGUCAUUCAGGUCACUCCACAAUCAUUUUUAGGCUUCCCCUUAUUAUUGCUCCUUAAACAUUUAUUUUUAAUUUACCAAUAAAUUUAGUUUUUUUUCUCUGAUUCUUCUUGGAGAGACUAUUGUUAUAAUUCAAGCUGGACAUGACCUUAUAAAUUGUGGGAACAGGUAAUUUGAAGUGAUUUGCUUACUAGAAAUAUUCGAUAAGAUAAUUAGUUCAAAGAGGUUAUCUAUUCAUUUAUUUUUGCAACUGUUAUGCCAAUAUUGUACUACAGUGUUGCCAUGCUUUUGCAAUAGAUAAAUUCCUAUCAUUUUAAGAUCUAUUAAUUCAAAUAAUACGAAGAAUAAACAUGCACCUCAUACUUUGCAGUUAAAAUGCAUGAAAUGUGGAGGGAAAUAUGAGCGUCAGGAAAGGAUGAUGGAUCUUACCGUUGAGAUAGAAGGGGACAUAGCAACUCUGUAGAAGCUCAUUUUGAGUUCAUAGACUUGUAGUAUUUUUUGUUGUUUAGAUUUGUAAUAUGAUUUAUUAUUUUUCAAGAGAAAUUUGUGUAUCAAUAUUUUGAGUUUAAUGAAAUAUCUCAUUUUGUAUUAAUUAAUUUUAAUAUAUUUAUAUUAUGCACAAUAAUAAUCAUUGUUGAAAUGUGGAGGGAAAUAUGAGCGUCAGGAAAGGAUGAUGGAUCUUACCGUUGAGAUAGAAGGGGACAUAGCAACUCUGUAGAAGCUCAUUUUGAGUUCAUAGACUUGUAGUAUUUUUUGUUGUUUAGAUUUGUAAUAUGAUUUAUUAUUUUUCAAGAGAAAUUUGUGUAUCAAUAUUUUGAGUUUAAUGAAAUAUCUUAUUUUGUAAUAAUUAAUUUCAGUAUAUUUAUAUUAUGCAUAAUAUUAUUAAUUGUUAGCAAAAAUAAUUGAGAUUCUAAAAAAAAGGUAGUUCGUUGCUUCUAAGAAAAAGAGUAUAAUAUAACUAAAAAAAGUCUUAAGAUUUUAGCGGCAAUAGUAAUGACCAGUAAAAGUGAAUGAAAUUAUAAUUUUAGAAUUAUUUUUAGUAGCUAUAUAAAUUGCCGGUAAAAUGGGUUUUGGCGGCAAUAAUAAUGGGCGCUAAAAAUGAAUAAUAUUGCAAUUUUAGAAUUAUUUUUGGUGGUCAUAUAAAUUGUCAAGAAAAUGGCCGCUAAAAAUUACAUACUUUUUGCAGCCAUUAAAAAAAUCUUUACCGGCAAAUGUUAUAAUUGCCGCUAAAACCUUUUAGCGACAAAACAUAAGACAGCUAAUGUUUAAUUGCCAGAAAAUGUAUUAGCGGCUAUUUUUAUUGCCGCUAAAAGCAAAAUAAAUGGCCGCUAAAAGUGAUUUUUCUUGUACUGUCGUGCCACGCGACACUUAACGUGAUACGUUAUCAUCUAACUGACGAAAAAUUUGAUUUGACUUAUAAUUAUAUUUUUCUGGGACUAAUAUAAUCAACAAAAUUUUUAAAAAUAAUUUAAAGAAUGGAUUAUGUUUCACCUGAAAAUUCAAGGAUUAACCCCUCCUAAAUCUAAAUUACUGUUUACUACAUCAUUGAAUAAGCCUCCUUCUACUAAAAUUACGUUAUCAAAUAAUCUUAAUCCUAUUACAUAAAUUAAUCACAAUUGAUUACCAACAAAUUUAGAUCGUGCAAUAUAUUAUGAUUUUAAUUAAUAUGUGCCAUAAGGGUAAAUAUANNNNNNNNNNNNNNNNNNNNNNNNNNNNNNNNNNNNNNNNNNNNNNNNNNNNNNNNNNNNNNNNNNNNNNNNNNNNNNNNNNNNNNNNNNNNNNNNNNNNNNNNNNNNNNNNNNNNNNNNNNNNNNNNNNNNNNNNNNNNNNNNNNNNNNNNNNNNNNNNNNNNCAUGUAAUUGAAUUCUUUAUUAAUUCUUCAAAAAUACCAUGUUGUGUAAAAUAGUCUUUUAACUAAUGAACGUAAUUUUAUUUUAUUUAAAAAGUACUUAUAUAUUUGUUAGGUUGAAACAGCUUAACUAUUUUCUAUUCUAUUAAUAAAAAGUGUUUUUGUAAAUAUAUCUAAAUACAACUUUUUCCUUUUAUUUCUGCUUAAGGUACUUCUUUUAACUGCACAAACAAAUACGAACAUUAUUAGAAAAAAAAUGAUGAAAGUGGCAAAUAAUUUAGGGGAAUAUUAUAUUUCAGCAUUAGUUUUAAAAAAAAAAUUAAUUUUAGAGAGAUAUAAUUUACUUAAAAUAUGAAGAAUGAGUAAANNNNNNNNNNNNNNNNNNNNNNNNNNNNNNNNNNNNNNNNNNNNNNNNNNNNNNNNNNNNNNNNNNNNNNNNNNNNNNNNNNNNNNNNNNNNNNNNNNNNNNNNNNNNNNNNNNNNNNNNNNNNNNNNNNNNNNNNNNNNNNNNNNNNNNNNNNNNNNNNNNNNNNNNNNNNNNNNNNNNNNNNNNNNNNNNNNNNNNNNNNNNNNNNNNNNNNNNNNNNNNNNNNNNNNNNNNNNNNNNNNNNNNNNNNNNNNNNNNNNNNNNNNNNNNNNNNNNNNNNNNNNNNNNNNNNNNNNNNNNNNNNNNNNNNNNNNNNNNNNNNNNNNNNNNNNNNNNNNNNNNNNNNNNNNNNNNNNNNNNNNNNNNNNNNNNNNNNNNNNNNNNNNCCAAAAAAAAAAAAAAAAUCUAUAUAUACAGUAGUUAUUGUUAUUAUUAUAAUUAUUAUUAUUAAAUAGUUUUUAAUUUUCAAGUAAUUAUCACUUUAUUUAUAUGCACACAUAAUGAGAGAAUAUGGUCAACUUUGGUUGUCACAAACUAAGAAUAGAAAGUAUUAAUUAAAAAUAUCCACAAUUAAGUAUUUUAUGAAUAUAUUAUAAGUUAUUGUUAGUUUUCGACAUUCAUCCAACUCUAUAAAUAUGCAUGAGAAAGCCUUAAUAGAAGUCAUCAAAAGAGAAAAUAUUUUAAUUUGUUUGGUUACUCCAACUUAGGCUUAAAUCAAAAAAUUUGAAAACAUGGUGAAGAUUACGGUCAAAAUAGCAUUUGUCAUGAUCUUUUUUGCUUUGAUGGCCACUAAUGGUAUUUUCUUUCUCAUCUUCUAUGUAUUUUCUUUUUCUUUUCUAAAAAAAUUUGUUAAUUAUUUUCUUUCAAUCUCCAAAUUGAGGUCACAAAAAAGAAUUCUAGUAUGGUAUUACAUUUUAAAGCCAACUCAAUUUUGGUUGAUAAAAUGUGUUUGUAUUUUCUUUUUUUCUCUCUAAAGCAAUAAAAACAUGCUUUUACUUAAACAAACAACGUGGAUCCUUUUUAGAAUAUAUAUAAGAGAUUUUUAAUGAAAUAUUUUUUAAAACACUGUCUUUUAAGAAUAAAAUUAUUUUUCUAAUAAAAAUAUUUUCCAAAAAAAAAACAUUUUAAAAGUCAAUCCAGAUACAUCCAUUUUUUUUUCUUCUUCUUCUUCUUUAUUUUGUAAAUUUUCUACGAUAUUCUAAAUAUAUUAUGUAUGACACUUUUUUCUUUUUUUCUUUUUUCAUUUUUUUGUAGGAUUUGCUCUCCAAAAAACACCAACAAACAUGGAGCUUCAAAAAAAUAAUUGCCCUCGCCAUGGUUGCAAUUUUUGGCCUGGUGGUUGCGAUUUUUUUAUAAAUACUUGUGCUCCAUUUUUUCCUGUGUGUGAGAAUGGUUGUUGUACCUGUAGAGGGCCGCCGAACAAUGUAAAAACAAAACAAGAACGCCACAUUCGCAUAGACGGUGAAAAACAAAAUUAGUAGGUGCAUACCAUUACAAAUAAUGUAAUAUUAGUCAACAUAUAUUAGCGAUGAGUAUGUGUGGCUUAUGACCUAUAUAUCAUAUAAAAUAAAAUAUUGAAAUUAAAUAAUUUGUGGUUACUCAUGAAUGCAAAAUUUGGGUUGAUUUACCAAAAUAAAAAAAAUUAAUAUUGGAAAAAACCUCUAAUUUUUUGGAUGAGCAAUUUUGAAAAAAAAAAAUAUUAGCCACAAAAAAAAAACAUUUUUAAGUUUAUCGUAUUACUUUUUUUCAGGGGUUGGUCGGAUUUCAAGUUGGAUCCAUAAAAAAAAAUGUACUGGCUUAUUUAAAAAAAAACAUAAGGCAUCCGUUUGGCCCAGGAGUUAACCAACUUAAUUUGCUAUUUUUUCUGAUUAAUCAAACUAAGUCGUUUAAGUUUGUAUUUUUACGAGUUUGAUUUUAGAGUCAAAUACCCAUAUAUAUAAGUCAAGUAAACAAGCUAGUCCAACAGAUUAAUCUAAGAGUUAGCUCAUUUUGACGAUCCUAAUUAAUUUAAGAGUUAGCUCAGUUUAAUCUUUAUUGAAUAAAUUCCAAAAUAAUUUUGAUUCACUACUAGAAAACUAGUUAUUACAGACGGAUAUUUCCGACGAAUUUUAUCCCACGGAAAUACAGACGGAAUUUCAGAGGAUUUUUUGUCGGAAAAUAAAAAAAAAUGAAUUAGCAUAAAUUACAGACAAAAAAAAAAUCCGUCGAUAAUUCUGUCGAAAAAAUUAAUUUAUUUUUGUGAAAAAUAGUUACAGACAAAAAAUCUGUCUGUAAUUAAAUAAACAGAAUAUUGUGAUUUUAUAAAAUUAUUACAGACAGAAAAUCUGUGUGUAAUUUAAAAUAAUCCCUCGGAAAUAUUAAAAUAAAGGAUUGGUUAAUGUUACUCUCAAUCCCUCAUUUCACUUUUUUUUUACGUUUUUCUUGGAUUACUGCCAUGGCUUCUCUCUCUCCAUCGAAGAUUUGACGUCCUCCGCUGUCGCGCCACCGCCGCCGCUCGCGUCGCACAAGCUCCCUCCACCACCGCUCUCAUCGCGUUUUCUCCCUUCAUCACCAUUGUCGCACGAGCUCUCUCCGUCGUGCUCUUGUCUUACGAGCUCCCUCUGCCGCCGCUCUCGUCGCUGCUUCUUCUCUCCUCGCCGGAGGUUUGUCAUCGUCUCUUCUCAUCACCGUUAGUUCAGGUAGGCCUUCGCCUCCUUCUCAUCCCUAACCCUAACCCUUCCAUUGUGACUCUGUUCUGAUUUCAUUAUCCCUAGCCCUAGCCGUAGCGCUAACCCUGUCCUUUUCCUAUUUUGCUUGAAGUUGAAAAUCAAAGAAUACGAUCCAGGAGAGCUCUUAUGUUUGCAAAUCAACUGUUGCUGCUGCAGAGAACUGAGUUUCUAAAUUCUAAGGUAUGAAUUUUGUAUGUUCCUGUAAUUUGUGAAAUCUGAAACAUAAAAAUUUCUAUGAUUGUGGUAUAGAAUGAAGUUUGUUUAUGAACUAUAUAUUUGAAUUGCUAAGAUUUUUUAUCUGGAAUUUGCAUGUUCUUGUUCCUUCCAGUUCUUGUUAUGACUUAUGACUAUUGAUUUUGGCUCCUCCUUCCUGUUCUUGUCUGAAUCUGCUGAAUUGCUUUUUAUCAAGUUUUUUAAAUUUAGAUUUCUCUGCUGAAUAGUUAUAUUAGUUCUUUGUUGAAUUGCUUUUUAUCAAAAUUUAGAGUACAAAAUAAUAGUGAAAAAAAAGACGAAAAUUAGUUUUUUGUGGACUCUUGAAUGAUAUAUGUUGCAUUAUUUAUUUUAGCUUCUGAGCAUUUUUACUUAUGCUCUGGCUGCAAUUUUGAUAGAUUUUCUGAUUUCCUUGCAGUGAAACAUGAUUGUGUGUUUGGUGCUGACUUGGAUUUAAAUGAAAUAACCUAUGUAUUAGGGGUAUAAGAAGCUUCUUCUCCCCACUUAGUGCUAAAUAUCAUUGUUGUUCAAUGCAUUUGAAGGAUUUUUAUUUUUAUGGUUCCGUCUCUGAACUUUUGUUUCAUAUGUGCAAAUAUAAUGCAGGCCCCAAUUUGAAGGAUAAAUGCAUUGAACUAUAUUGCUAUUCAGUGAUUAAUUAAUUUAUUGCAAAUUGAUAUGAGGUUCUAUAUAUGAGGUUCUAUAUAUAAAAUUCUCUUCAAGUGCUAAAUAUCAUUGUUAUUCUUUUCUUUUUACUUAGUGAAUAUACGAAGUUUGUGUUAGAAGCCCUUGAACUGUUGGAUACCAUAAAGAACUAUGAGAGUCGUGACUCCACAGGAUGGUUUGCUCUUAAAUCUACAUGUUCUUAUCUUUCUUGGUACUGAUACUAAUUUUCUGGUUUGAAGAUACUACAUGUUUUUGUUACAAAUUCUAUAGAGAUUAGUUUUCUCACAAUGAUAACUACAUGAAAUAUUGAUUUAUAACAGAAUUUCUAUGGUGGUGUAUAUUAACGAAGCAACUACAAAGAUUAGCUGCUGUUGUCUUUCAUGGGAAAAACUAUGCUAUAGUGAUCUCUCCAACUGACUUGACACUGCUGCCUCUUACUAUGUCAUGAAAAGAAUUAAAUCCCUUGAUCAUAAAGAUGCCAUUCAAAGGACAGUUAUUGCAUCAAUCCAUCAGCCUAGUGCUGAAGUUUUUCAAUUCUUUGAUAAUCUCUGUUUGUUCUCUGCUGGCAAAACAGUUUACAUUGGACCUGCUUCUACUGCAAUUUAGGUUAAUAUACAACUAAGAACCAACUAACUAACUAGUUCAUAUUUUCAAUGCCCAUCAUUUCUAUAAUACUAUCAUAAGAACAUCAUCUUGUAUGUAGUUUUUCGCUUCCAAUGGUUUUCCUUGUCCUGCUCUUCAAAACCCCUCAGAUCAUAUGCUAAAAAGUAUAAACAAGGACUUCGAUCAGGUAAUAAGCUUUCCAAUGCCUCUUUUCUUUUCUUUAACAAUUCAUUUGUUCUAAAUGAGAUUUCCUCUGUCACUUGCAUCUCUUUGGCUGCUAAAGUUGAAGAAACUCAAGUGCCUCUUCUCUUGGACCUUCAAGUACGUGUUUUUUUUCUCCUUUAUAUCAGAAAACUCAUCAUGACGUUUCUAAUAAUGUGAUUAUUUGAUCAUGAAUCAUCAUCAGGUUGAAGAUGCAAAAUAUGUGUUUGAGUCAAAGACUAUUCAGAGAAUGGAGCUUCUGAUUCUGUCCACCUUGAAUUGGAAGAUGCACCCUGUGACCCCACUCUCAGCGAUUGAAGAAUAGGUGGAUUUGACACAGCACAUGCUGUAGCUAGGUAAUUUUGUUAUCGGUUCUUUUUUUUUCUUUUUGGCUAAUGAAAAAUAUUUCAUGGAUUUGAAUUUUAGUGUGCAAGUUUGAUUUUAUUUUCAGGGCAUAUGGUCGAGCUGCGAUCAAGUUCCGUGGCAUUGAUGCAGAUAUCAAUUUCAACGUCAGCGAUUAUGAUGAAGAUAUAAAGCAAAAAAUAUAUGUAAUUGAUUGACCAAAUCUAUGCACACCUUUGCCAGAAGAUAUCCACAUUGCUUCUUUAUUGUUCCAAAUCUGUUUCUGCUUAUAUGCAAUAAAAUCAAUUUAUUUCAUUGCCUUGGCUUUUAUUUCUUCUCCCAAAGUUGUACGAUCAUAUGCAAAUAAAUCCUCAUAUAUAACAAUUUAAUUAUCUUAUCUAUUCUAUAUUUUUCUAGUAUAUUUUGUGAUUGAAAAUUAUCAACAUUAUGUUCUCAUUUUCUAAAAAUAUUGAAUUCGUAAACUUGUCUUUAAAUUAUAUUAAUUUUAAACUUCAAUUCAAAUUAAUAGCAAACUUCCAAUUAAAACUUUGCAUUAAAAAUAACGACAAAUUUUUUAUCCAAUUGCAAAAAAAACCGUUUUUAAGGAAAAUCUUUUGAUUUGAGUUGUUUGUAAAAUUUUUUAGAAUUGACAUCUUGCUGAAAUAUUGUAAGUUAUUAGUUUUUAAAAAUUAACUAGCUAAUUAUUAGUCACGAUUUUGGGAUGUAAAUUAUUCUCUCAUACAAAAUAGCUUUAGAUUAGUGACAAAAUUAUGACAAAUUACAUUAGCGUGUUUGGUGUAACACCCUCACUAUUAGAGUGUCACGCUUUCGGCUGCGCCACUCUGAUAGCAAGAAGUAUUAUGAUGAAUUCAUAUACUUAAUAAUAAAAUAGGAGCCUUUGACUCGAAACCGUAUCGCUGUUUUUUUUUUUUUGAAAAUCGAAAAAAUACUUUAUCUUGAAAACAAACAAGCAUAUACAUGUGUACAAAAGUUCUUACAUAAAUAGCUUAUGAAUAUAAUAUACAUACAGAACAUGUAACGCCCUAAUAUUCAAAUUCUUAUACUCGAGUCAUAAGUCAAUGAUAAUAAGGUGGUACGACUCUCAAGGGGGAUUUUUUUAUACAUAAUUAUAAGUAAAAUUGAAAGGAAUAUUAAUCGAGAAGCCUGAAAAGAGUAAAAAUAAAAAUCGCGAAGUCGUAUCACUCACGCGUCGACAACUAAAAGAUAAAGCGUGAAGUCGAAAGCGUUAUAAGGAUAAAGUCAUAAAGAAGAAUAAGAGAAGAACAAUAUAUGGAUAUAUGACAUAAGUAAAUAGCCACUAGCCGCGACCCGCGGAGUUUAGGCCGGCUAGGAUACAGUAUAAAAGUAGAUGACAACAAUACCUCCUAAUCUCUCCCAAAUAAAACACGAAAGCCUCUAUAGGCAAGUUUAAAAGAGUUCAAUACAUAAUAUAAGCUUUUCAAAAUAAAGGUGGAGAGAUUCGAAGCAAAAUAUAAAGUAGAGAAUAUAAAGAUCUUCGCCAUAUCUCAGAUGAACCACAGCUCACUUCUAAGGACCUGGACCUGUAUCUGAAAAACAAGAGAUAUAUAUGGAAUGAGAACCCCCAACCCAUGGGUUCCCAGUACGGUAAAAGUGCCAAAUAAAUACAAUGCAUUGUAAUAAAAUCUCACUAAGCAUCCUAGACUUCCUUUCACCAAACAUUCACCCUAUGUCCUCGCUAAUCCAUAAAUAGACAACUGUCAUAGGGAAUGCUAAAGCUAAUUCAUCUUCCUCAUGCUUCUCAACUUCCUAACUCUCCAACGAAUCAGAAUCAGAAUCAUAAACAAAACCAUCACCAGUUAUUUUGUCUCAACAAUUCUAUAUCGUUACUUCAUAUCCUCACCUGGAGCAAGUGAAAUCACUUCACCGCGUCUACCCAGGAAGCUUAAAUUAUCUCAUUUUUUAUCUGGAGCAAGUGAAAUCACUUCACUGCGUCUACCAAGGGAACUCAAAUUAUCUCAUUUUCUACCCGGAGCAAGUGAAAUCACUUCACUACGUCAACCUAGGGAACUCAAAUUAUCUCAUUCAAUAAUCAUCAUUUUAAAUUACUCAUAUCAUCAUUCCAUUCCAACAAGAACAGCCCUCAGCGUCAACCAACACCAGCAUGAAGGACCUCUCAGUUGUACAAUCACAAGCAAUACAGACAAGUAAUAUACAAAUAAGGUACAAGUAAAGCAAGUAGCAUUUAAUCAGGUAGCAUAGUAUAUACGUACAAUUUAGCAAUACAAAAUAGAUAGGCAAACCCAAACAAGUCAAACAUAUGCAAAUGAUGAAUGCCUACCCUAUGGCUGAUGAGUCUCAUCUGUCGGUUAUAAAGCCAACCCGACAAGUCCUGGUAGCUAACCAUUGGACUGUCCCUCUGUCGUGCAUCCCCAACUCAAGUUAUUCACAAUCAUAUUCAUAAUCACACAACACCCACACUGGUGUUUAUCUUCACAGUGUCCGGCCACACUUACGACAUAGGGUCAACAGAAUCUCGGAUCUCAACCUGGAGCAAGUGGAGCCAACCCACUGCAUCUACCCAAUGAAAUCCGAAACUCAGAUAAUUUCACAAAUCUCAAAUCAAUCUCGACUGGGAGCAAGUGGGGGCUAACCACUACAUCUACCGAGGAGUUCAUACCAAACCCGGAGCAAGCGGAAUCACUCCACUGCAUCUACCCAGGCAGGUGUUUAAAAGCUAAACCUGGAGCGAGUGGAAUCACCACUACUACCGCUACUACCCAGGCGUCACCAUCUUUGACCUGGAGCAAGUGGGACGAACCACAACCCUUGCUACUACCCAGGCAUCUCAAACAUACAUUCAUUCAAGACUACAUAAUUAAACUCAUUUUUCAUUAUCCUCCUUCCUCAUCUCGUACCCGGAACAAGUGGACAAUGUCACUGCCUACUACCCGGGGUCACACAUCACAUUCAACAUUUUUCAUCAUUAUUCAUUUACCAUAUUUAAUCAUUAAUCAUAUACAUAUACAUACUCAGCCAUAAUUCAAUUCUUAUCACAGCCAUCCAGCUCAUACUAUACAUAGCACUUCCACCAUCAUCCUCAGCAACUCAUACAAUUAUCAUUACUCAUCAUUCAUAAUUGAUUCUCACUUUACUUCAUCCACAAGUUACCACAUGUCCUAGCUUCUUUUCAUUACUAGGCAUAUUAUAAAAAUUUAGGACUUAAAGGAUGAAAGUGGAGGCUUAGAAGUCUGAAAUUCGGCUUUAAAACUCAAAAAUCAAUUUUUGCCGAAAACAAGGUCACACAUGCGCGUCACCCACGCGCACGCGUGGAAGGCGAAAAAGUAGGGUGACGCAUGAACAUCGCCCAUGCGCAUGCAUGGAAAACAGAGAGGUAGUGUGACACGUGCGCGUCAGUCACGCGUACGCGUGGGUGCGUUUUAUGCUCCUCGCACAAAACCGGCACAGUACCAGCGCAACUCUCUGGAUUUUCUACUAAGGCAUCUACAUCAAUACAGCGACGCGUACGAGUCGGCCAGGCACACGCGUAAGAAAGUAAAAAUCGUGAGUGACGCAUGCGCGUUGGCCAUGCGUGCGCGUCGGAGUACGUUUUCUUAAAAAUUUUACUAAGUCUGAAAAGCUGCAGAAUUUCAUUUUCAGACCUCAAACUUCCGCCACACAUAACUUCUUCUACAAAAUUCCUUUUUCAUCCAUUUUUGAACCGUUGGAAAUAUCGUUGAAUAAACUUUCAUAAAAAUUCAAAUUUGAAGAAUUCCUAACUCCGAGGGCCGAGUUACUGACCGCCGAAGUUGGUCAAAAAUCAGUUUUUACCCAAAAACAGAAAUCACCAAUUUUUCCAAUGUUCACAAGCCAAAUUCAUUUCCACUCAUCCAAAUGACCACAACCCAACCACAUUCAAAUAAUAACACUCAACCAAAACUAAACCUACCUCAUCUACACAAUUCAAUUCCAUUUCGUCUCCUUCCACUUCUAAAUUUUUAAUUUCUUAUUAUUCCACAUUCCUCCCAUUUAUUCACACACUCAAUAUUCAAUAUUCAUUCAAUCUCAUAUGACAUCACACAAUACACAUAUCACCUACCUUCCUUACCUCUUUUUGGCCUCCGACCCAAAUUCACAAUUUAAAUGCAUAUUCCACAAACCAAUAUUCGUUAUCCAAUUCAUUAAAUUCUCAAUACACCAAACAUGCAAAUUCACACAAUUCUCAUCCCAAUCAUUAAUUUUCAUUACAUAACAACUAUAUAUCUUAAUACCAACUUAAUCCUAGGGCAUCUAUCCUAGGAAUUCUCAUCACACCACAUGAUACUUAAAUGAAACUUAAACCAUACUUCUUGUAGCCAAAAUAAUUGAGCCUCUUCUUGGAAGUCUCCACCAACCUUAACUCCAAGCCUCACCAAAGCUCCACAAGCAAUAUCAAUCUUUCAAUUGUGCACCAAAAUCACCCAAUACUCUAACAUAAUCAAUUUUCACACUUAUAAUCAACCUAGGAUUUAUAAAAUUGAUAAAUCACAAGGGUUAAAGGGUUUUUUACCUUAACUCACUGAAUUUUGUGAUGAAUAUCACUAAUGGCUCAUACUAGAGCACCCCUAAACAACAAAAAUCACAAGAUUUCCUCAAAACCCAAACCAAAUUCAAAUUUAAAGGGAAAAAUAAAAACUGGGCAGAGGACAGUGGAAUACUCACCACAAAAUUUAAAAUUGUAGAGGAUAAGAAGAGAGACACGUGACCGAAAACAGCUCGUCAAUCGGAGUUCCGGAGAGAAAGUUAUGGUGAUUUGAAGUUUGGGAAGCUAGAUUUCCUUUCUCUCUUCUCUAUAUGCGCCCCUCCCUCUCAUUUUUAGGGUGAAUGAGGUGAAAUACUCGUAACUAAUAUUUAUAUGUAUUGGGUUUUGGGCCCACUUGGGCCCGGUUCACUUGGUUUAGUCCGUUGGCCUAACUUUGGGCCAAAACCUUUAAGAUUAGAGUUUUAAAUCGUAUUUUAAAUAUUUCUAUCUUUCCAAAUUAUAAAUUCUCAUUUCUUAACCUUAUUCACUUAUAAUUAAUUUCCUCAGCUACAGUACCAGACAUUUCUCAGCCGGUGCUACCGGUCAAAGUUUCAAUGCGCAUUUUUACGCAGAAAACUAUGUUUUUCGACUCAGAAAAAUUCACUGAGUCCAAAUAUCAUAUUUAAAUUAUCAAAUUCCGAUUGCUAAAUUUUCUAACCAUAUUCGUUCCUAUUUAAUUUAUUAUUUAAUUAAUUACGGUUUGACUGGGUUUUACAUUCUACCUCCCUAAUAGAAAUUUUCGUCUUCGAAAAUUCGAUAUCAAAUCUUCACAUAAGCUCUCUCGAUAACUAAUCAGAUGUUACAUUCAUCUCACCUUUCAUAAGACCUUCCCUAAAACCGAAACUUACCACCCUUUACCGUUUCCCUCAAAUUAACCUCAAUACAAUCUCAAUGUUUCAAUUCACUGUCUUCCAACUCCAUCAUCCAAAGUCUAAUAAUUUAUCCAUCAAAAUUUAAGCACGAAUUCAAUUACACCUCUAGUCAUUUAUACCGCUAUUUUAGAAUCAAUCUAACCCAUAGCCACAAUUAAACUUAACUACUUGCGAAUCACUAUUGGCAUCAGCUCACUAAACCUUCCAGGUAUUCAAACCUAAAGUAUUUCUAAUCCCAUUUGCAACUAUUCUAUUUUAAUAUUUCCACAAACUUUUGCUGCGCCACUCUGGUGUCUCAUCUAGUACUAAUCCUAUCAGUUAUUUCCUCAAGUAUUAAACCACAACUUAGCAUGACCGACAUUCAUUAGAUUUCUAUCUAUGAUAGCCAAAAUCAAAUACCAACUUAAGCGUAUUUUUAACACGUUGUUACUGAUCUUUCACUUACCUCUUCCCAAACCGUCGGAUCUACGGUAUCCUCCAUCGUCAUAGUGAACACAUGACCUGGUUGUUGUCCCUUGGCAGUAUUCUGAUUGACCUUCUCAGGGCAGUUCCAAGACAUGUGUCCAACUCCUCCACAACUAUAGCAAAGUCCCAAUUCAGCUCGACACGGAGUUCCCAGAUGAUAGCUUCCACACCGCCUACAAGUCAUCUCAUUUAGAGGUUGCUUUCCAUACCUCCUCCCUUGAUGAUUGUUGUUGUUGUUCCUUCGGGAAUUGUCUUGGGCUUGCUGGGGCUAUGGAUUAUAACCUGCUCUCUUAGAAUCUUGACCCUUUGGAGCAAAGUCCCUCCCUCGGUUCUGUUGAAAAGGUCCCCUAUGACUCUCUCUUUCUGCAGUGGCCUUUUUCACACACUCUUCAGCAACCCUACUCUUAUUCACCAACCCUGAGAAAGUUCUGAUCUCCAUUGGUCCCACUGAACUUAAGAUAUCGCUCCAGAGUCCUCCUUCAUACUUAAUGCACUUCUAUUCCUCGAAGUCUCCCAUAGCUCCUUGACACAUGCGGGAAAACCUAAAUAGCUCCUCAAAUUUGUUUGUAUACACAGAUACGGACAUAACACCCUACUUCAGCUGCAGUAACUCAAGUUCCUUGGCCGUCCUGGCAGAAUUGGGAAAGUACUUUUUAAAAAAUUCCUCCUGGAAGGCAUCACAGGUGAUAGGGUCAUCCCCCUGCUGCAGGAGACGUUGGGUUCCCUACCACCAAUGCGAUGCUUCCCCAGUGAGCAGAUAGGUAGCAAAUUCAACACACUGCUCCUCAGUACCAACUGCGCUUGUAGUGCUGGCUCCAUAGCCUGAAACCAGGUAUCAGCUUCAGUCGGAUUGGUGGUUCCCUUGAACGUAGGUGGAUUAACCUUUAAGAAGGUUGCUAGUGUCAUCGGGCCCUGAAUUCCAUUUCUGCCAUUGCCAUUAUUGUUUAUCUGUUGUCCAAGAGCCUCCGCAGUGGCCUGCAUAGCAGCAGUCAUGUUUUCCAAUGCCGGAAUAAAGUUUACCAGGAUAUUCGAGUUGGUUUCCGGUUCUUGAGUACUAGUAUGAUCUAUCUCACGGCCUCCACCGCGUCCACGAGGCGUCAUCUGGUUCCUAUACACACCAAACAAUCGAUAUCAAGUUGAUCAGUCUCAAUAUCUCAAGUUAAGUGCUUCUAUUUACCAAAGGUACACUCAUGAACUUCAUGCUAGACGUAUCAGUCAGAUAUCCAAACUAGCACAGGCACAAACUCAGAGCAUGCAUUGAAGCAUAAGCAGUUCCAUCCCUCAGGCUCACGAGGACGAACUGCUCUGAUACCAUAAUGUAACACCCUAAUAUUCAAAUCCUUAUGCUCGAGUCAUAAGUCAAUGAUAAUAAGGUGGUACGACUCUCAAAGGGGAUUUUUUUAUACAUAAUUAUAAGUAAAAUUGAAAGGAGUAUUAAUCAAGAAGCCUGAAAAGAGUAAAAAUAAAAAUUGUGAAGUCGUAUCACUCACACAUCGACAACUAAAAGAUAAAGGGUGAAGUCGAAACGUUAUAAGGAUAAAGUCAUAAAGGAGAAUAAGGGAAGGACAGUAUAUGGAUAUAUGACAUAAGUAAAUAGCCACUAGCCGCGACCCGCGAAGUUUAGGCCGGCAAGGAUACAGUAUAAAAGUAGAUGACAACAAUACCUCCUAAUCUCUCCCAAAUAAAACAUGAAAGCCUCUAUAGGCAAGUUCAAAAUAGUUCGAUACAUAAUAUAAGCUUUUCAAAAUAAAGAUGGAGGGAUUCUAAGCAAAAUAUAAAGUAGAGAAUAUAAAGAUCUUCGCCAUCUCUCAGAUAAACCGCAGCUCACUUCUGAGCACCUGGACCUGUAUCUGAAAAACAAGAGAUAUAUACGGAAUGAGAACCCCCGACCCAUGGGUUCCCAGUACGGUAAAAGUGCCAAAUAAAUACAAUGCAUUGUAAUAAAAAUUCAUUAAGCAUCCUAUACUUCCUUUCACCAAACAUUCACCCUAUUUCCUCGCUAAUUCAUAAAUAGACAAAUGUCAUCGGGAAUGAUAAAGCUAAUUCAUCUUCCUCAUGCUUCUCUACUUCCUAACUCUCCAACGAAUUAUAAUUAGAAUCAUAAACAAAACCAUCACCAGUUAUUCUGUCUCAACAAUUCUAUAUCGUUACUUCAUAUCCUCACCUGGAGCAAGUGAAAUCACUUCACUGUGUCUACCCAGGGAGCUCAAAUUAUCUCAUUUUCUACCUGGAGCAAGUGAAAUCACUUCACUGCGUCUACCCAGAGAACUCAAAUUAUCUCAUUUUCUACCUGGAGCAAGUGAAAUCACUUCAUUGCAUCUACCCAGGGAACUCAAAUUAUCUCAUUUAAUAAUUAUCAUUUUAAAUUACUCAUAUCAUCAUUCCAUUUCAACAAGAAUAGCACUCAGCGUCAACUGACACCAGCAUGAGGGACCUCUCAGUUGUACAAUCGCAAGCAAUACAGACAAGUAAUACACAAAUAAGGUACAAGUAAAGCAAGUAGCAUUUAAUCGGUAGCAUAGUAUAUACAUACAAUUUAGCAAUCCAAAACAGAUAGGCAAACCUAAACAAGUCAAAAUAUGCAAAUGAAGAAUGCCUGCCCUAUGGCUGAUGAAUCUCAUCUGUCGGUUAUAAAGCCAACCCGACAAGUCCUGGUAGCUACCCAUUGGACUGUCCCUCUGUCGUGCCUCCCCAACUCAAGUUAUUCACAAUCAUAUUCAUAAUCACAUAACACCGACACUGGUGUUUAUCCACGGGGGCGAGCUCAUCCGAAACUUUCACAGUGUCUGGCCACAUUUACAAUAUAGGGUCAACAGAAUCUUGGAUCUCAACCUGGUGCAAGUGGAGCCGACCCACUGCAUCUAUCCAAGGAAAUCUGAAACUCAGACAAAUUCACAAAUCUCAAAUCAGUCUUGACUGGGAGCAAGUGGGGGCUAAACACUGCAUUUACCCCAUGAGUUCAAACCAAACCUGGAGCAAGCGGAAUCUCUCCACUACAUCUACCCAGGCGUAUAUAUCUCACUAUGUCCCGGAGCAAGCGGAAUCACUCCACUGUAUCUACCCAGGCAGGUAUUUAAAAGCUCAACCUGAAGCGAGUAAAAUCACCACUACUGCUGCUACUACCCAGACAUCACCAUCUCUGACCUGGAAUAAGUGGGACGGACCACAACCCUUGCUACUAGCCAUGCAUCUCAAACAUACAUUCAUUCCAGACUCCAUAAUUAAACUCAUUUUUCAUAAUCCUCCUUCCUCAUCUCAAACAUACAGGGUCACGUGUGCGCGUCGCCCACGCGCACGCGUAAAAGCCGAAAAACUAGGUUGACGCGUGAGCGUCGCCCAUGCGCACGCAUGGAAAACAGAGAGGUAGUAUGACGCAUGCGCGUCAGUCACGCGUACGCAUGGGUGCGUUUUGUGCUCCUCGCACAAAACCGGCACAGUACCAACGCAACUCUCUGGAUUUUCUACUGGGGCAUCUGCAUCAAUACAGUGACGCGUACGCGUCAGCCAAGCGCACGCGUGAGAAAGUAAAAAUCGUGAGUGACGCGUGCGCGUCGGCCAUGGGUGCGCGUCGGAGUACGUUUUCUUAAAAAUUUUACGAAGUCUGAAAAGCUGCAGAAUUUCAUUUUCAAACCUCAAACUUCCGCCACACAUAACUUCUUCUACAAAAUUCCUUUUUUAUCCAUUUCUGAACCGUUGAAAAUAUCGUUGAAUAAAUUUUCAUAAAAAUUUGGUUUUGAAGAAUUCCUAACUCUGAGGACUGAGUUACGAACCGACGAAGUUGGUCAAAAAUUAGUUUUUAACCAAAAAUAGGAAUUAUCAAUUUUUCAAUGUUCACAAGCCAAAUUCAUUUUCACUCAUCCAAAUGAUCACAACCCAACCAUAUUCACAUAAUUACAUUCAACCAAAAUCAAACCUACCUCAUCUACACAAUUCAAUUCCAUUUCCUCACCUUCCACUACUAAAUUCUUAAUUUCUUAUUAUUCCACAUUUCUCCCUUUUAUUCACACACUCAAUAUUCAAUAUUCAUUCAAUCUCAUAUGAUAUCACACAAUACACACAUCACUUACCUUUCUUACAUCUUUCCGGCCUCCGGCCCAAAUUCACAAUUUAAAUACAUAUUCCACAAACCAAUAUUCAUUAUCCAAUUCAUCAAAUUCUCAAUACACCAAACAUGCAAAUUCACACAAUUCUCAUCCCAAUCAUUAAUUUACAUUACAUAUCAACUAUACAUAUUAAUACCAACCGUUUACACAAUCCAAACUUAAUCUUACGGGCAUCUAGCCUAGGAAUUCUCAUCACACCACACGGUACAUAAAUGAAACUUAAACCGUACCUCUUGUAGCCAAAAUAAUUGAGCAUCUUCUUAGAAGUCUCUACCAACCUUAGCUCCAAGCCUCACCAAAGCUCCACAAGCAAUAUCAAUCUUCUAAUUUUGCACCAAAAUCACCCAAUACUCUAACAUAAUCAAUUUUCACACUUAUAAUCAACCUAGGGUUCAUGAAAUUGAUAAAUCACAAGGGUUAGAGGGUUUCUUACCUUAACCCACUGAAUUUUGUGAUGAAUAUCACCAAUGGCUCAUACUAGAGCACCCCUUAACAACCAAAAUCACAAGAUUUUCUCAAAACCCAAACUAAAUUCGAACUUAAAGGGAGAAAUGAAAACUGUGCAGAGGACAGUGGAAUACUCACCAUAAAACCUAGAUAGAAUUGUAGAGGAUGAGAAGAGCAAUGCGUGGCCACAAACCGGCUCGUCAAUCAGAGUUUCGGAGAGAAAGUUAUGGUGGUUUGAAGUUUGGGAAGCUAGGUUUCCUUUCUCUCUUCUCUCUAUCCGCCCCUCCCUCUCAUUUUUAGGGUAAAUGAGAUGAAAUGCUCAUAACUAAUGUUUAUAUAUGUUGGGUCUUGGACCUACUUGGACCCGGUUCACUUGGUUUAGUCCAUUGGCCCAACUUUGGGCCAAAACUUUUAAGAUUAGAGUUUUAAAUCAUAUUUUAAAUAUUUCUAUCUUCCCAAAUUAUAAAUUCUCAUUUCUUAACCUUAUUCACUUAUAACUAAUUUCCUCAGCUGUAGUACCAGACAGAUCUCAGCCGGUGCUAUCGGUCAAAUUUUCAGUGCGCAUUUUUAUGCAGAAAACUAUGUUUUCUGACUCAGAAAAAUUCAUUAAGUCCAAAUAUCAUAUUUAAAUUAUCAAAUUCCGAUUGCUAAAUUUUCUAACCAUAUUUGCUCCUAUUUAAUUUAUUAUUUAAUUAAUUAUGAUUUGACCGGGUUUUACAGAACAUACAAUUCCGAUCCCUCUUUUAAAAUACAAUAUUGAUGACGAGAAAAAAAAUAAAUAACAAUUAAACUGGUAUAACAACAAAAUCAUUUAAGCAAAAUUGAGAUUAAACUCUUCGUAAGCCUCUUCGUUCAUCUCCUGAAAAGAUAAAGCUGUAGGGGUGAGAACCUAACUACACGGUCUCACCACGAAGUUUCAGAAUUGUCAUAAGAAGAUAUUUAAUAAGAAAAUCAUUUUCAAACUCAGUGAUUAUCGUUGUCUUAUGAAUCCUUUGAAAACCGAUGGUUUAACCAUGAAAAAUUCAAAACAUUUUUAAAAGAAAUCAGUUAUUUAACUAGAAAUCUAAACUCCCUUUUUCAGACAAAAGAAUCUUAAAAGUUUUCUAAUAGUAUGAAUGACCAACCUGUUCCAAACAUAGGUUCAUUAAGUCUAUGCUGAACUAGUUUGAUAUUUCAUACUUUACUAAACCACAACACAAACCAAUCACGGCCUCCGGCCCAUCACAUAAUCAAUCACGGCUUCAAGCCCAAAUAGCUCAAUCAACAUCCAAUUCACCACAACCCAACCAAUUUCAAUCACAAACACAAGUAAUGAGGUUCAAACACAAUCAAGUGCAGUUACGUUAAGUAUAACAAUUGGCAAUUAAACAGAAUUAUUCACAUAGGCAAACCAAUUACAAUAUGCACACCCAAAUAAUGUCACAUAAAUGCAUAUGAUGAAUGUCUCCCCCAUGGCUAAUGAGCUCAUCUGUCGAUUAUACAGCCAACCUGAUAUGUCCUGCUAGCUAACCAUUGGACAGUCCCUCUGUACACGCAUCCCGAAACUCAAUAAAAUCCAUGGGAAAAAUCCCAAGUUCAUCCAUGGGGAGAGACAAAGCCCCAAUUUCAAAUUCAUAUAUAUAUGCAUGCCCAUGGGGAAUCCGAGAAGUUAAAGUGCCCAGUCACAUCUUACGUAUAGAGGGUCAACAAUUUGUCUCAAUUUUGCAAGUCCCACAUACUUUUAAUUCAUUAUCAUCAUCAAUUCAUAUCUCAUCUCCAAAUCCAUUCAAAGAUCAUACUUUAAAAAAAAUCCUCAUCAUCUUUCAUUCAAAUGCAAUCAUCAUCAUCCAUCCCCCUAUUCGUUCAUCAAUAAUCCCAAUUCAAAAUCUAAUUCAUUCUUUUCUAAAUAAAUCAAACUUAAAACAUAUAAUCUUUCAAACCAAAGCUUUUUAAAUGAUUACUUCAAACGAAGCUUCCAAUUUUAUAUAAAAUUUCGGCAGCAUCUCCUCUAAAACUCGGACUUUGCCACCCCUUUCAGGUCCCAUCCAAACAUUCCUCAAACCCUUCUCAACCAUUUCCAAAUCUCAAUUAUUUUUUUAAAUUCAACCAGUUCUAAUAUCAAAUUAUUUUCAAAUCGAACCAAUUCCAAUAAUAAAUUUUUCAAAAUCAAACCAGCUCCAAUAUUAAAUCAUUUAUAAAAUCAAACUAAUUCAAAACCAAACCGCUUCCAAAAUCAAUUCAUUUUCAUAUCUCAAAUUAUUUUCAAAGCCGAUUCAUUUACAUUAUCAAAUUAACUCCAUAACCAAGAAAAACCCUUUUCAUAAUAAUCAACUAAAUAACCUUACAAACCAAUUUCUUAUCAACAACCGCACACCACUCAAGCAAUCAGUAAUUAAGUCCAACAAACAACUACAUCUAUAAGACAAUCAUAAUCACUGAAAUAUAUUUUUCACAUCAAUAUCUAUUUAUAACAACUCUAUAAUAUAAAAUCAAUUUUAAGAAAAACCCCUACCUCAACUCGUCGAAACUCACAAAACCAAAUGCGUCAAAACCCCCUUUUUCCUUGCGGCCCGCAACAACCAAAGCUUCAAUCGCGACUCAAAAUAAUCAAAAUUCAAACCUACCAACACCUCAAAACCUUUAACAAACCAUAAAAGAAUAUUUAUACGCUAGCGACGAGGAUUUCAGAACAAAGAUACCUACUAUAACGGCAGAACAAGGCAACAACAAUUCUGAACCGACCAAGCAGCACCUCCGACAACAACCUCAAGCGAUAGCGACGACCAGAAGCUCCGGUGAUGGUGAAUGUAACAACCACGCAAUGACAACGAUGCUAUAGGAAUUUAAAAUAACAGAAAUUAGAACCAAAGACACCCAUUCCGAUAGUGGAUCUCGGCGACAAUAGUCCCGGAGGCAUACCUGGCGGUGGCAUCUGGUGAUGGCGGCGCGAUGGUGAAGGCUUCUCCUUCCUCGCGCAUUUCUCAGCCGCGAACCUUCUCUCUCUAGCGUGGUUGGCUUGGCGGCGGUUGAACGGGAUGGAUGGCGGCAGGUCGUGGCGGCGGCGGCGGCACUAGACAUGGUCUCCCUCUCCCUUCCAACACAGAUCCCUUCGCGCGUGGCACUAACGGCAGUGGCAGUGGCUUCUCCCUCUCAGCUCACCCUUCUUUCUCUUCUCCCUGUCCAUUUCUAUUUCUCUCUUCUCCUUCACUGGUUCUCCCUCUUUUUGCCUUUUGAUUUCUCUGAUUUCCUUCGCCGUUCUUCCUUUCUAACUUCCCCUUUCUCAGAUUUUCCCUUUCUGAAUAUAGGUUUAGGGAUUUAGGGCAACAAAUUAGGGAUUUAGGGAUCUUGUGACAUUAGGGUUAAAUUAGGUUGUGAUUUAGGAAUUUAGAGCUAGAGUAAAAUAUAUAUACGAGUAAUAUAAUAAUCUUACACGAUAUUUGAGAUAAAAUAAUAAUUUAAAAUUCAAAUUUAAUACUGUAAAGAUUACUUUCAAAAGGCAUAUAAUUUUAUUCAUUAAUAUAUUGAUAAAAUAUUUGAGAAAGAAUAAUAAUUUAAGAUUCAAAUAUAAUACCAUAAAAAUUACUUCAUAAAAAUUACUUUCAAAACGCAUAAGAUUUUAUUUAUCAGCAUAUCAAUGAGCUCAAACAAUUAUUUUUAAUUUAAAUUAUAAAAUAAGCAUACUAAUCACAUUCUAUAAAAUACAGUUAAACUCGAAAUAUCAAUUACCUAUAUUAAAUUAUAUGACCUUUUAUUAUUUUUCUAUCAUAACUUUAAUUUCAAUUUAUAUAUAAAAUAACUAGUUAUAAUCAAAAUUGUGAGUAAAUACUAAUUGACUUAAAAUUAAAGUAUUUAUCAAAAUCAAUUUAAUCAUUUCUAAUAAAUUAAUCUUUAAGGGCUCAAAUUAAUAGAAUAAAUCAUAUUUAUUCAUAAUAGAAAUUUCUAUACUUUUCAAAUAUAAAAUAAUCAAUUAUAAAAAUUACACAAGAAUAUUAAUUAACUUAAUUUCAAAAUUCAUAAAACUAAUUUAAUUACUCUUAAUAUAUUAAUUAUGAAAUAAAGAGUUUAAAUUAAUAAUAACUCAUAACUUAUUCAUAUUAUAAAUUACUUAAAUUAAAUUGUACAAUUCUUUCUUAUUUUUCAGUUACUGAAAUUAUGUAAAAUAUUUAAUUAUAAUAAAAUUACAUAAGAAUCUUAAUUAAUUUAAAAUAAAAUUAUCUCCAAUUUUAUUUAAUUAUUUCUAAUAGAAUAAUUUCUAAAACUAUAAAGUUUAAACUUAAUAAGAUAAAAUCGCAAUUUAUUUAUAUUUAGAUUUUCGAAAAAUGCGGGAUGUUACACUUGGCGAAUUUCCUUCAAACUUUUCGUGAAUUUUCUAUGGAUCUAUAUAGAGGUUAGCGGUUAGUAGCAACAUGAAAUAAGGACAGAAUAAGGACUAACAUUUUUUCUCACAAACUAGUAGCAGCAUGAAAUAAGCGAGGAAAGUCUAUUAACUGUUAAGCGGUCCUUAAUUCCUCACUAAAUAAUCUUUUCAUUGUGACCAUUUGCUUCCAAAAUUUUCUCGGUUAGCUUUGGAUUUGUUAUAAUUCUACGAUGGAUUUCCAACGAGAUUAGCGAGUAAUUUGUUACAAAAUAGUUAGGAUAUAACUUUUUCUUUGUCACAAGAUUACAUUUGCCAAGUCGCUUGCUAAAUUAAAAUUGCGACAACUUAGCGACAAAUGUAUUUCGCCUGCUAAUUAGUGACUUGAAAUUAGCGAAAAAAGUGUGUCAAUUGUUAAAGGAUCACAAAUUUUUCGCUACUGAGAUCCUAGCGCUCAAUAUCCAUAUUUUCACUUUAGUGACUAAUUAGCAAGGAACACUUUCCUAGGUGAAUGAUUUAUCCGUUGCGACGAGUUAGCGACUACUAUUUUCCAUCGCUAACCUAAUUUAAAUUUUACAAUAUUAUGCGACAAAUUGGCGAGAAACUAGUUGCUCGCUAAAAAUAAAAAUUUUGGUGACAAAUUAGCUAGAAAAUUGUCCAUCACAAAAUGCGUUUAAGUCUUUGUGACAUAUUACUUGGGAACAUUGUUCCUCACUAAUUAGCAUUUCAACGCAAAGUUUACUUAGCAACGAAUUAGUGUGUGAAUUGUUUCUCGCUAAUUGUAUAUCAAACACUUCCGACGGAAUAGUGACAACAAUAUCCCUCACUACUUUCUUUUAUUCGAUUGAACCCCUAAGUGAUUGAUUUGCUAGAACAUUGUCACUCGCUAAAUAAUUUGUGACAAAUUAGCAAAAAAAAUUUGCUCUUUUUUUAGCUACAAAACUCAAUUUGCGAGAAACAAACUUGCUCGUGAAUCUCUCGCUAAUCGGCCGCUAUUCUCAAGUUCGGAUAUUUUGUGACCGUUCAUUAAUUUUGUCGUUAGUGCGUCACUAAUUCAUCGCUAGUUAGUGAUGGAUUAGUGAUAAAAAAUAUUUCUCACAAAAUUUUGUUGCAAAUUUAUCAUAUUCUUGUAGUGUUUUUACCUUUUUUAAGAGUUUAUGAUGGUAGUGAGUUUUCAUAUAAACCUCUACAUCUAUAGCAAUUUAUAUAUAAAUUUUGAAAUCUCUAUAUCCUGUAGAAAUUUAUAUAAAAUGAAUACAGAAUCAAAAUAUAACCAUUAAAAAAAAUUAUAAUUGAAUAAAACUGAUUCAUCUUUUAUUCAUUUAGUAAUUUACCCUAACAAAUAUAGUUACCUCUUUCUUUAGCGUUUUAUGUAAACUCUGCUAAAAUCGAUAAAUAAUUAGUCGAUAAAUCGAAUUUUAAUUAAGAAAAUUAAAAAUACAAAACUAAUGUCAAAAUAGAAUAGAGCUCUUCAAAAGAUGAAUUUUGAUACCAAUUUCAAAAAAUUUGGCCUAAAAUUAGACCAAAAAAACCGAACCGGUUGAACCGGGAUCCAAACCGGGCCCGUGGGUCCAACCAGACCCAUAACUUAAAAGAAGCAACAGCUCCUUCUACCACCAUUUCACCCACAGUGACACCAAACAGAUUGGGGAGGAAGAAUAACUCCCUAACCCUCAUCAAACACUCUAACGCCCAUAACUACCCCGUUUGAGCUCCGAUCGCCGCACCGUUUGCGGCCACGCGUCCAGCGCGUCGAGCUCUACAUUUCUAUCGGAUUAAUUUCACCGGUAAGCUCCAUUUUUGUUCCAGAAUCUCUAUUUCCUUUCUAUUCUUGAAUUUGAAAUCCUAUGGUAAAAUUUUGCCCAAUUUGGUGUUUUAGGUUCAAUUUAGCUUGCGGGGGUUGUUGGGUUCGAGUUGCUACGUGUAUGGCUGAGGUAAGAAUGCCCUAAAUCUUAAUUAAAUUUUAACUUCAUUAGGUAAAAUCUGAAUUUGGAAUAUAUAUGCGUAUUAGGUGUGAAUUAAGUUCAUAUACAUGCUUUGGAAUUGAAAAGUGAACAUUUGGAGGCUUGGUGGUGAUUGAGGCUAAGUUUGUGGCUGGUUACUCUAAGCUUGAGGGGCUGUUUUAAAGCUUGUGAGGCUGCCUUGGAUUAAAUAAAGCGAUCGGCCAAGGUAUGGUUUAGGUUUUGCGCGUUUAAUAUUUAAGGUGUAUUGAAAACUUAGGCUACAGAACCAUAGGUUAAGUUGAAUUGGUUAAAUGUAUUAAAUGAUUAGCUUUGUGGAGAUGUUGGAUAAAGUUAUGGUUGAACUUGUAUUGGAGUUUAUGAUCACGAGUUGUUGCAGUUAUUGAAUAUGUGUUCUUGAAAUUGAGCUAGUGUUGGAAGUUAUGAGCAUGAAUUGUUGGUAUUGAAUAUGUGUUCUUGAAAUCAUUAAUGAAGGGUUGAUGAAGAUGUUGAUAUAUGUUAAUGGAAUUUAAUUGAUAUAUGUUAAUGAAGGGUUGCUCAUAUAUGUGAUAUAUGUUGAUAUAUAUUGGUGGUUAAGGCUUGUUGAAUUAGUUAAAGGUAAAUUUGGGAGUGGUUGUUAAUGAAAUGGGCUUGAUAUGUUAAUAAUAUGCAGGUUUUAUGGGUAGGGAAUGUGAAUUUGGCGAAAAUGAGGUUUGGGUAUUAUUUGGUAAAAAGUAAAUUUUGGUGAACUUUGGAAGUCCAUAACUUGCUCCUCGAAUUUUGGAUGGAAUUGUGGUUUGUUUCAAAUGAAAGAUGGUUUUAUAAGCUUUUGAAUGAUAUCAAUUUUGUGAAAAACAGAAUUUUGUAGAGAAAGUUAUGGACGACGGAAGUUUGGUGUAUAAAACUAUGUUAUACAGGUGCUAAAAACUGGUUGUAGCAGCUUUCUGGGCAUUCUGCCAAUUUUUGGAAAACGUCAAUCCAUGCGUACGCGUGGCAUGGUAUUUUAACGACACAUGCGCGAGUAGCAUGCGUACGCGUGAGAAGCUAAUGCGCAUGAUCACGCGUACGCAAGACUCACACGUACGCGUGACGUGCUGUUCGCUCCACACGUGCGCGUGGCCCACGCACACGCGUGACUAUUGUUUGCUGCAAAAACUAGAUUUUUGGAAUUUUAAAUCAGAUUUUCACUUCUAAUCCUCCAUUUUCCUUCCUUUUAGACUUAGGGUACAGUGCUAAAUCCAGUAGCUAGUUGAAGCUAGAAAAACAAGAUAACUUGGGGAUGAAGUAAGAGGUAAAAUGAUGAAUUAUAUGAAGGAAAUGAGAAAGUUAAAUGAAGUUUAAUGCCAUGGCUUGAUAAAUGAUUAUAUAUUGAUUAUGAAAAUGAAAUGGCUUAUGAAUGAUGAUAUCUGAGAUACGAGUUUCCCUGGGUAAGAAUCGUGGCUUGCCACCACGUGUUCCAGGUUGAAUCUCGAUACUCUGUUGACCCUACAUCGUAAGGGUGACCGGGCACGUAUGAAUUUUUGGGUUUGGAUAGCCCCCAUUGAGUGAUUACAUGAUGAAUGAAUGUGAAAUCUAUGCAUAGACUCUUGCGGAUGCGCGACGGGGGACAAUCUAAGGUUUUCGGACUUGUCGGGUUGGAUGGAUAACCGACAGAUGAGCCUCAUCAUCCAUAGGACAGGCAUGCAUCAUGUGCAUUUUCUGAUUUUACCUAACUAAAUAUAUACAUCCUGCUACCUGUUAUACUUGUUACUUGCACUAUUUGCUUAUAACUUGUGUGUGAACUUGUUUGGUUGCUUGUCUCUGUUGAAUUAAGGAUGACGGAGGGACGAAGGAAGGGUGAAUUGGUUUGGAGUUAUGUUAGGUUUAAAAAGUGAGUAAGUGGUACGAGAUUCGUUGUCGGUCUAGAAUUUCUCUUGUAGAAAUAAGAACUUCGUUGUAAGCAUAGCUCCAAACCAACAAACAACUCUCACAUCAAAUUAAAUUUUGGUUUUGUCACAAGUACAAACCCUAAUAAAGAAUUAACCAAAGUAUUUAAACCUCGGGUCGUCUCACAAGGAAUUGCAAUGAAGUGGGAAAUUAUUCGCUAUGAAGGAACAAAGGGGGUUUGAUUGAUAAAAGUGGCAAUAAAAUAAAUGGCAAGAAAAGUAAAUCAAGCAAGUAUUUAAAGAAGACAAGUAAUGAAGAGAGAUAUUCAUGGCAAGGGUUGAGAAUAUAGGCUUUCUAUCCUAGUCAUUAAUCACAAUAAUACUUAACAAAAAUUUAUCUUAUUUCAUCAUCCCCAAUGUUGGAAGAAGGUGUGAGUUAUCUUCCAUUAGAGAAAGUCAAACAAGACUAGUUAAUCUCAAGUCAAAAAUCCUAAUCAACUCACUAAUUGAAUUAGCAAGAGAUUAGAGUCAUUGAAAAUGAUAUUAACUAACAACUCUAGAUCACCAAUCUAAAUUGGGUAUUAAUGACUCAAGAUUGCCCAAUUACUCUUCCCAAAUCAAGAAUGCUCAAAAUCUACUCUAAAGUCCAACCAAACAUUUUGUCAAACACUUGGAAGGCAUAAAAGGAAAGCAUAGUAAAAAUUCAAGAAUAAUAAAUCUACCAACUACCAAUUGCAAGGAAAGUAAAUCAACAACUCAAAUCAUUAAUAAAAGAACAUCAAACAUUAAAUUUCAUUAAAUGUAAACAAAAUCCAACAUGAGCAUUCAUAAAUAUAAAAGAGGCAUAAAAGUAAAAUUGACAAGAGAAAUAAGAAGAAUAGAGUAGUAGAAACAAGAAAUUGUAAAGAAAACAAGAUGAAUUCAGGAAAUCAUGCCUAGAUCUGAGAUGGAAAUAGCCUAAGAACCCUAAUUCUAGAGAGAAGAGGGAGCUUCUCUCUCUAGAAACUAACCUACAUGAUGCUAAGCUACAAACAAUUGCUCCCCCCUUGUCCAAGCUUGAAUUAUACAUGAAAUAGCAUCAGAAAUGAGUUGGAUUGGGCCCAAAAUGAGCUAGAAAUCAUUGGCCACGAGUUGCUCUUUAAUGAACCACGUGCAACAUCGGCGCGUACACGUACAGUGCAUGUACGCAUCAUUAAACGCGAAGCAAUUAUGGCAAAUUUUAUAUCAUUUUGAAGCCUCGGAUAUUAGCUUUCCAACGCAACUGAAACCGCCUCAUUUGGAUCUCUGUAGCUCAAGUUAUAGUCGAUUGAGUGCGAAGAGGUCAGGCUUGAUAGCUUUGCGAUUCCUUCAUUUCUUCAUGAGUUCUCCCACUUUGCAUGCUUUUUUCCUCACUUCUUCCAUCCAAUACUUGUCUUAUGAACCUGAAAUCACUCAACAAACAUAUCAAGGCAUCGAAUGGAAUUAAAGUGAAUUGAAUUUAGCUAUUUUAAGGCCUAAAAAGCAUGUUUUCACACUUAAGCACAAAUUCAGGGAGAAUUGCAAAACUAUGCUAUUUCAUUGAAUAAAUGUGGGAAAAGUUGAUAAAAUCCCCUAAAUUAGCAAAAGAUAAAUCACAAAAUUGGGAUUUAUCAAACCUCCCCACACUUAAACUAAGCAUGUCCUCAUGCUAAAAUCAAGAAAGAAGCAAAGGGUAUCAACAUUUAUUCAAUGAAAAUUAACUACGUGCAACUUAUCUAUAUGUAACCUAUCUAAAUGAGUGCAAUGGCUUGGUUAAAACAAAUCUAUUUCCAAGAAUACAUGUACAAGUACAAGGGCCAAAGCAAUAGCAAUUAAAGCAAAUCCACAAUUGAAUUGAAUCAUUGAAAGAUUUUACAAACUUGCAAGAAAAGAUGAUCAUGGGUGGAAACAUAUAAUUGAACGAUCGAACCCUCACCGGAUGUGUAUCCACUCUAGGCACUCAAGUGUAUAGGGUUGAUUCACUCAAUUCUCUCCUAAUCAUGCUUUUCAAGAUUUGUUUUUCAUCUAACAAUCAACAAUUAUUUCAUGCAUGCAUACAAAUAUCAUGAGGACUUUUCCAUAGGUUGUAAUGGGGCUAGGGUCAAGGUAGGAUGCAUAUGGUCAAGUGCGCUUGAAAUUCGAAUCUUUGAUUAACUUAAACUUCCCACCUAACCUAUGACAACCUAUACAAUUCUAAACAAACCUAACUACCCAUUCUUCACUUUUCCACACACUCAUAUAUUUUCUUUUGAUCACCACACAUAUGCAUUGAUUUUUAUUGAACUUUAAACUUUGGGGUAUUUUUGUCCCCUUUUUAUUGCAAUUCUUUUUUUUCUUUCUUUUUCUAUUUUUUUUCUUUAUAUAUAUAUAUAUAUUCUUUUUUUUUCUCUAUCAUUUUUUUUAAAGUAUAUACAAACGUAUCAAUGCAUAUGGUUUUACAUAUUUAAUGCAUAAGCAUGUACCCAACUCCCAAAAAUAUUCAACAAAAUACAAAAACACACAUUUUUUUUCUUAACCAAUGUCCCAAGUUUUCCAUACCCAAUUGAUACACACCCUCACUAGCCUAAGCUAAUCAAAGAUCCAAAUUAAGGGAUAUUUAUUGUUUUUCACUUAGGGGUAGUGAUGUGCUAAAAUUAAGAAAUGAAAGGGGAUUAAAAUAGGCUCAAAGUUGGCUAACAAUGGCGGAUAAAAGGUAGGCUAUUUGGGUAAGUAAGCUACAUGAAAAGAUGGCCUCAAUCAUGUAAAUGCAUAUAUACAUCAAACAAUGGACAUAAAGAAUCAAACAAAUCAAGGAUUGCAAUCAUUAAAAGAGAAUAAGACACACAAGAAUGAAAAUAGUGGUUAUAUGAUGUAACCAUUUAAAGUGAAUAAAAAUCACCAAUUUAAGGGCCUAAAAAGCAUGUUUUUACACUUAAGCACAAUUCAAGGGAGAAUUACAAAACUAUGCUAUUUCAUUGAAUAAAUGUGGGAAAAGGUGGUAAAAUCUCCUAAAAUAAGCACAAGAUAAAUCACGAAAUUGGGGUUUAUCAAAUCUCCCCACACUUAAACUAAGCAUGUCCUCAUGCUAAAAUCAAGAAAGAAGCAAAGGGUAUCAACAUUUAUUCAAUUCAAACUAACUAAAUGCAAUCUAUCUAUAUGCAAUCUAUUUACAUGAUGCAAUGGCUUAGUCAAAAUAAAUCAAUCUUCAAGAACAUACAUGCAAGCACAAGGGCUAAGGUAUUAGCAAUCAAAGCAAACCACAAUUGGAUUGAAUCAUUGAAAGAGUUUACAAACUUGCAAGAAAAGAUGAUCAUGGGUGAAAACAUGUAAUUGAGCGAUCCAUUCUUCACUUUUUCACACACCCAUGCAUUUCUUUUUAGAUUUUCACACAUAUGCAUUGAAUUUAUGAAACUUUAAACUUUGGGACAUUUUGUUCCCUUUUUGUUGCAAUUUUUUUUUCAAAUUAAAAUAUAUACAAGAACAUCAAUGCAUAUGGUUUACACAUGAUUAAUACAUGAGUAUGUACCCAAUUUCCAAGAUUCUCAACACAAAUAUAAAAAUACACUUUUAUCUCUACCCAAUGUUCCCAACUUUCCCGAAAUCAAGUGAUAAACACUCUCACUAGCCUAAGCUAAUCAAAGAUCCAAACAAGGGACAUUUAUUAUUUUUCACUUAGGCUUGUAAUGUGCUAACAUUAAGAACAAAUGGGUUAAGCAUAAGCUCAAAUUGGCUAACAAUAGAAGAUAAAAGGAUAGGCUAUUUGGGUAAGUAAGCUAUUUGAACAAUUGCCUCAAUCAUGUAAAUGCAUGUAUACACAAGAUAAUGGACAUAAAGAAUCAAACAAAUCGAAGAUUACAAUCAUAGGACUAGAAUAAUGCACACAAGAAUGAAAAUAAGUGGUUAUAUGAUGUAACCACACAAUUAAGGCUCAAAACUCUCAUGCUUGUAUUCUUAGCUCAAAACAUGAUCCACAAAAUAUAUAAUUCAAGCAAGUUCUAAAAAAAUUUUUUUUUCGAUCAAUUGGAGUGCCCUAUAGAUAAAAUCCUUGGAAAAUAUCAUGAUUUUGACUAAGCUUAAUAUAUACAUAUGCAAAAUAAGAAAAUGCAACUAAAAAUCCUAAAAUGAAACGCGAAAGUGUUGGGAUUAGAAACUUGUCACCCAAAAAUGCCGAUCGGUCGGACGACCUCCCCACACUUAAAUGUUUGCACUGUCCUCAGUGCACUAUAUGAGCAAAGGGGUACGGUGACUUGCCGAGUUGCCACCUUCAUCUGGUAGGUCAACCGGUUGCUGCGUGUUCUUCCUCCUGCUUCUAUUUUUGCUUAUGGUGCAUCGAUAAUGAAAAACAAAAUAAACACCGUAAGAUGAAAAAAUACAAAAGCAAGGAAGCAUGAAUUGUUGGAAUGAGGUAAGAACCACUAGAAUGGAGUGAGUGAAUUAGUGUGACAAUGAUGAAAAAUAAGUGUGUGGGUUCUAAAAUUGCGCGCGGUUUAGAAUACACACACUAGUACAAAAAGUUAUGUCACAAUUACACAAAAGAAAACAUGCACUUCACUCAUUCUAGUGUGCUUGAGAUACUUUAAAAGACUUUUAGGUUAAGGCAACCACACAAGUAGUGAAGAAGCAUAAAAGCAUUUAAGCAAAAAUCAAGCAAUUCUGAAAUUGGAUAAUGAAUGACCAUUGAUUGAUGUGUAAGUAAACUUGAUGAACAAAAUGGUAUAGAGAGCUCACACAUCAAACAACGACAUAUAUUGAAGUUGUUGCAACACUUAAGUGACAUGGAAGUGGAACACAUGGAUGUUGUGGAACUUAGGGAAAAGAAUAUGGAAGUGAAAAUCAAUCACACAGCAAGCAUAGUCCACAAAGCUUGGAAAGCUCAAAAAUAUGUCAUUAGGUAAGCUUUCGAUCUAAUUCCUCAACCACAGAAUCUCAAUGUAUAAAAUAAGUGAUGUGAAUAAGGGUAAAUCAUAAACAAGCAUCACCUAAAAAAAUACAAUGAUAAUAUACAAUUGCCUAACAAUGGAUGAUGAAUGCUUGGUGGCCAAAACAUGCAAUUCAAAAGAGUUAAGAAGCUUAAAGGCAAUGUAACAUGUACUUGGUAUUCAAAAGUGUUAAACAUGAAAAUUCCAAACAAAGUAACCAAAUACAACCUCAACAAAGAAAUCCAACAAGUACAAUUAACAAUAAUGAUGUUAAACUAACAUCCUAUUAGUAAUAAGCAGCAGUAAACAGUAAACAAGAUUAGUAAUUCAACACUUAUAAUGGAAAACAAAAAUUAACAACAACUAAACUAACUAACUAAAUAAAAAGAUAUGGUUUUAUAUGGUGUUUGGUAGUGUUGGAUGAUGUUUGAAGGGUGGAAAGAAAAGAAGAGAAAAGAGAAGAAGGAAAGGAAUAGAAAGAAGAGAAGAAAGGAAGAUGAUUGAUGCAGGGCAGGCCACGCGUGUGCGUCAUUGACGUGUGCGCGUGGAAAUGGCAAAAUGCGAGCGACGCAUACGCGUACGGCGCGCGUGCACGUCGAUGGGUUAUUUCGAGAGUGACGCGUACGCGUGAGGUGCGCGUACGCGUGACCAGCUUUGCGCGUUUCGCACAAAACGUGCGCGUUGUUCACGUGACUCUCGGAAAAAUGGCUUGGAGGUGAAAACAUGCAAUCCAUGCAUACGCGUGCAUGACGCGUGCGCAUGGAUGGUCGAAAUUGCUAGAUUCAUGCAUACGCGUGAAGCACGCAUGUGUGUGGAUGGUGCUCUGUUUUUCAAAAUUGUUCUAUGUUUUUGCACCAAACCAAGCAUUCCAAACCUCCAAACAGCUACCAAAACAUCAUAAAACCUUAUUUAACCUACUAGACUCCCAAUUAAACUCAACUAACUAAACAAAACAUGAAAUUAAACCUAAAUUACCAAUAUUUACAAAAGAAAAAACGAAAAGAGUUUACCAUGGUGGGGUGUCUCCCACCUAGCACUUUUGUUUAUUGUCCUUAAGUUGGACUUACGGAGAGCUCCUCAUCAAGGUGGUUUGUGCUUGAAUCCAUCCUUGAACAUCCACCAAUGCUUGGACUUUCAUUGUGCUUCAUCAUUCAAAGUUAAUAACUUCAAGCUUUGAUGGAGUUCUUCAUAAACCAUAGGCUCCCAAAGUUGAUCGUCCUUGUGCGAUCCGAGAUCCCACACUUUGUUUUCACACCCGUCCUUGAGUUCAUCAUGGUGAUUUCCUCCGGGUGGUAAGAGUGAUGAAUUCUCAUGAAGGCACCAAACUACCCUCAUAGACCCAUCUACUUGAGCACUACACCAAUUCGUGCUCUUUAAUUUUGAGCUUCCAACCAUAAUGAGCCUAGACUUACAACACCAACUGCUAAACAUCCUCCUUUUACGCUUAUUUCCACAAAGUGCCCUAAGUUGGCCAUCCAUUUCAAAAAUACCAUAUUCAAGUGGGAUAAUAAAUCUAAGAGUUAGAAGUUUUACCCACUCAAAUGAAGGAUUAGAUGACAACCUAGGUGGAGGAGUUCCCAAUGAUCUUGACAAAGCACGCUCCACUCCCGUCCAUCCUCUUCUAGAGGCUUCAACCACUUUGCAAGGUAUUUCAAGCUCUACCUCUUGCCAAGCUUCCUCAAUUUCAAGCUCUUUUUCACCAAUUUCUUCAAGCUCUUCCCCAUCACUCAAAUCAUAAAUAGGAGGUUGAGUGAAGCCUACCUCCUCAUCAAUUCCGAGCAUAGUGGGGAAGGAUUCUUCAAGCUCAAAAGGAUCAUAUGUUGAUUCGGAAUCAUCAUAAAUAGGAGGGCUUGUUGAUUGGAACCCUUUUUCCAAUUCUUCAAUCACAUUGUGCCUUGGAGGUUGUGCACUCUCCUCCUCAACAUCAACUUCAAACUCCAUGGAAGAAGGCUCUUCAAUUUGUGAUUCCUCUAGGUGCUCAACAUAUCCUAAAUACCCAACCACAACUUUCUCUUGUUCAAUAAUCUCUAACUCCUCUUCUUGUUGCACUUCUUGCUUUAACUACUCUUCUGCACCUUGGGGCUUCAAGUUCACUCCCUCACUAAGCUAUUUGGUUGCUUCUCCACAUUCAACAAUGGAAGUACCUUGAUCACAUAGGCUUAGGAGGGAUGAGACUAUGUUGCCAAUGGCUUCUACCAUGAUAGCCAUCUUGGCUUCUAGCUCCUUAAACUCCUUUUCCGUCUCCUUAAACCCUUUUUCCGUCUCCUCUUGUUGCCUUAGGAUAUGAGAUUCAAGAUCUCUUAGUUCUUGCGCGAGGGCUUCAUCGGGGGGCGGUGGUGGAAGAGAAGGCUCAUCAUUUGAGGGAAAGGUGUUGUUGUUGGAAGGUGGUUCAUAUUGGUGAAAGUCUUGAGGUGGUAUGUAUGGAAUUUGUGGUUCUUGAGAGUAUUGGUGUUGGAAUGGUGGUGGCUCUAGAUAUGGUUCAUAUGGUAGUUGGUAUGCUGGGUAUAGAUUAAGAUCAUAUAGAGGUGAAUAGUGGUAUGAGGCUUGUGAGUAUGGUUAUUGAGGGCUAUGUUGGAAAGGGGGUUCAUAUGCAUAUGAUGGUUGUGGUUGACAAUCACAAUAGGGGUCAUCACAUACAUUAGAUUGGUAUGCAUUAGGAUUAGGAGUAUACCCAUAAGAAUCCGAAGAGUGGUCACGUUGGGGUGGUGCUUGGAUGGCUCGGGUGGCAUAAAAUGCCCUUUGGUCGUUGCGCAUCUCCGUGAGGAUAAUAGUCAUGUCCCCAAUCACUCUUGCCAAACUUUGAUCUCCAAAUCCUUGAUGCAUGUUAUCAUUGUAAAUUCCAUCUCCUACAACAUAAGUUGAACCACACUCAUAGCCAAAGGGGUGAGAAUUCAUGGUGACAAGAGAAAAUAAAACAAAAGUUAACAAGAAACAAAGAAAACAAAGUCCUACAACUAGCAAAAAUCAACAAACAAACCAAAAAUAAAGCUAUUCACAAUAUAUACAAUAGCCAAUAACAUAGCACCAUUACAACUCUCCGGCAACGGCGCCAUUAAUUUGGUACGAGAUUCGUUGUCGGUCUAGAAUUUCUCUUGUAGAAAUAAAAACUUCGUUGUAAGAAUAGCUCCAAACUAACAAACAACUCUCACAUCAAAUUAAAUUUUGGUUUUGUCGCAAGUAGAAACCCCAAUAAAGAAUUAACCAAAGUAUUUAAACCUCGGGUUGUCUCACAAGGAAUUGUAAUGAAGUGGACAAUUAUUGGCUAUGAAGGAAUAAAGGGGGUUUGAUUGAUAAAAGUGGCAAUGAAAUAAAUGGCAAGAAAAAUAAAUCAAGCAAGUAUUUAAAGAAGACAAGUAAUAAAGAGAAGCAAUUAAUAAAGAGAGACAUUCAUGACAAGGGUUGAGAAUAUAGGCUUUCUAUCCUAGUCAUUAAUCACAACAAUACUUAACAAGAAUUUAUCUUAUUUCGUCAUCCCCAAUGUUGAAAGAAGGUGUGAGUUAUCUUCCAUUAGAGAAAGUCAAACAAGACUAGUUAAUCUCAAGUCAAAAAUCCUAAUCAACUUACUAAUUGAAUUAACAAGAGAUUAGAGUCAUUGAAAAUGAUAUUAACUAAUAACUCUAGAUCACCAAUCUAAAUUGGGUAUUAAUGACUCAAGAUUGCCCAAUUACUCUUCCCAAGCCAAGAAUGCUCAAAAUCUACUCUAAAGUCCAACCAAGCAUUUUGUCAAACGCUUGGAAGGUAUAAAAGGAAAGCAUAGUAGAAAUGCAAGAAUAAUAAAUCUACCAACUACUAAUUGCAAGGAAAGUAAAUCAACAACUCAAAUCAUCAAUAAAAGAACAUGAAACAUUAAAUUUCAUUAAAUGUAAACAAAAUCCAACAUGAGCAUUCAUAAACAUAAAAGAGGAAUAAAAGUAAAAUUGACAAGAGAACUAAGAAGAAUAGAGUAGUAGAAACAAGAAAUUGUAAAGGAAACAAGAUGAAUUCAAGAAAUCAUGCCUAGAUCUAAGAUGUAAAUAGCCUAAGAACCUUAAUUCUAGAGAGAAGGUGGAGCUUCUCUCUCUAGAAACUAACCUACAUGAUGCUAAGCUACAAACAAUUGCUCCCCCCUUGCCCAAGCUUGAAUUAUGCAUGAAAUAGCAUCAUAAAUGAGUUAGAUUGGGCCCAAAAUGAGCUAGAAAUCGCUGGCCACGAGUUGCUCUUUAAUGAACCACGUGCAACAUCGACGCGUACACGUACAGUGCAUGUACGCAUCAUUAAACGCGAAGCAACUAUGGCAAAUUUUAUAUCAUUUUGAAUCCCCGGAUGUUAGCUUUCCAAAACAAUUGGAACCACCUCCUUUGGACCUCUGUAGCUCAAGUUAUGGUCGAUUGAGUGCGAAGAGGUCAGGCUUGACAACUUUGCGGUUCCUUCAUUUCUUCAUGAGUUCUCCCACUUUGCAUGCUUUUCUCCUCACUUCUUCCAUCCAAUACUUGCCUUAUGAACCUGAAAUCACUCAACAAAUAUAUCAAGGCAUUGAAUGGAAUUAAAGUGAAUUGAAUUUAGCUAUUUUAAGGCCUAAAAAGCAUGUUUUCACACUUAAGCACAAAUUCAGAGAGAAUUGCAAAAUCAUGCUAUUUCAUUAAAUAAAUGUGGAAAAAGUUGAUAAAAUCCCCUAAAUUAAGCACAAAAUAAACCACAAAAUUAGGGUUUAUCAGUAAGUUCAGGGAUAUUUAGGUUACCUACCCCUAUUUAUGGCUUCUCUUUAGAAAUUAAGUUUGAUAACUGGAUGACAGAGUUCUAGGAUUGCCUCUGGCAUUCCCAGGACCUUAUUUAUUAUACGUGUGGCACCUUUACCAUGCUGAAAACCUCCGGUUCUCAUCCUAUACUGUGUUGUUAUUUUCAGAUGCAGGUCAAGAGGCUCCCCGCUAGGUGUCUGGAUCUUGAAGCGGAGUAGUCCCUGGGUUAUUUUGGGUUUUAUGAUUGUAUAUAUAUGUACCUAUGUACUUAGCUUGCUCUCCAAGAAACUUGUUUAUUUUAUUCCUCAUAGAGCUUAAGGGAGAGCUGGGACCUUAUUUUGAGUAUUUUGGGAUAUCUGUAUAUGUAUGUAUAUAUAUUCUCUGGCCAGCCUUGGCUUCGCAGGCUGAAUCAGGAGCUAGCUAUGCUAUUUUCUUGGCUUUCCUUUACUCUCUUGCUUAUCCUAAUCAUUACCUCUUAGGUUUCUUAGCACGCAAGUAAUCCUAUUUCUUGAGCGUUGCGCUUUUUAUUUUGCGAUUUUAUUUUACCCAUUUUUCAAGGCUCCUAGUAUAUUAUCUCUUUCACCAUUAUAUGUAUAUUUUAUCUGAUUAGAGAUCCGUAACACCACACUAUCUCUGUUCUAUGACUUAAGCGUAAGCCACUAUGUAGUAGGGUGUUACACUAUGGUAUCAGAGUAGUUCGUUCCUACAAAGCCUGAGGACAGACUGACUAUGCUUCUGUGCAUUCUCUGUGUAUGUGUCUAUGUGCUAGUAGGAUAUCUAAUUGAUAUAUGUGGCAUAAACGUUCAUGAGUAUGCAUUUGGGACUUAAAGCACUAGACUUGCGAUAUUGAGACUGAUCAACUUAAUAUCACUUGUUUGGUAUGUAUAGGGACCAGAUGUCUACUCGCAGACAUGGACGCGGGCGAGGUUGAGGCAGAAUAGGCAAUGCUAUGCCUGAAGUGUCAGAGAAUACUCCUAACCCUGUAGACUUCAUGGCUGCUUUAGGCAAUAUGGCAGCAGCAAUACAAGUGACAGCUGAAGCCUUGGGAAAUCAAAUUAAUAAUGGAAACAAUAGUAAUAAUGGCGAUAAUGGUCCAAUGUCACUUUCCUCCUUCCUGAAGGUUAACCCUCCGACCUUCAGAGGAACCUCAAACCCUACUGAUGCGGAUAACUGGAUACAAGCUAUUGAGCGGGCAUUACAGGCUCAGCAGGUUCUUGAUGAAUAUUGGGUUGAGUUUGGAACGUACCAGCUGCAUGGUGAAGCUCAGCAUUGGUGACAGGGCAUAAGGCGCAUUCUGCAGCCUGACGGGGUUGUGAUCUCUUGGGAGAUAUUCCGAAAAGAAUUCUAUAAGAAAUAUUUCCCCAACUCAGUUAGAAACCCCAAAGAACUUGAAUUGCUUCAGCUGAAAUAGGGCCAGAUGACCAUUACUUACACAAAUAAAUUUGAGGAACUGUGCCGCUUUUCACACAUCUGUCAGGGAGCUCCUGAGAAUUUUACUGAGUGGAAGUGCAUAAAGUAUGAAGGGGCCUUCAGAGUGACAUUCAAAGAUUUGUAGCACGAAUGAAGAUUCGGGUGUUCUCUUAGCUUGUGAAUAAGAGCAGGGUGGCCGAGGAGUGUGUCAGAAGGGUUGCAGCAGAAAAAGGAACAUGAGGAUGCCAUUCCAAAGGACUACAAGGAGGAAUUUUGCACCUAGGGGUAGACAGUUCAAGCGUGGCGGCUUUGUCCCUCAGAAUAACCAGGGACAAGGCAACUUCAGGAGGCCUAAUACCAAUGCUAAUCAGGGAAGAAGAUAGGGGAAGCAGCUACAAUAGGAUUUGAGUUGCCAUAGAUGUAGGAAGUACUAUUUAGGGCUGUCCAGGUUUGGGACUGGAGUCUGUUAUUCCUGUGGACAGCCUGGACACUUGGCUAACAACUGCCCAGAGAAGAAGAGGUAUGAGACAGGCAGAGUGCAGCAACCAAGGAGAGUAUAUACUACUUCUUCAGUAGGUGCUGAGGGAUCAGAGACAUUGAUCAGAGGUAACUAUGAGAUGGCGGAUAAAACUUUGAAUGCUUUGCUUGAUUCUGGAGCUACACAUUCUUUUAUUGCAUUUGAGAAGGCUGAUGAGUUAGGAUUGAAAAUAGUAGUCCUGGGGUAUGAUUUAAAGGUGUAUAAUGCCACCCACGAGGCUAUGGUGACUAGGUUAAGGUGCCCCCAAGUUCCCUUUCGAAUAGAACAGCGUGACUUCGUGCAUAACUUAAUUUGUUUGCCGAUGACUGGUCUUGAUCUUAUUCUGGGAUUGAACUGGUUAUCCAAGAACCAUGUUCUACUCGAUUGCUCUACAAAAAUAGUGUGUUUUAUGCCUGAAGACAUAGAAGGGCCGGUUGUGGUGAAUAACUACUACAUGAAUUCCAUGACAGUAAACUGUUCUAGGGCCGAAUGCUAGGGAAUAUUGUUGUUAGCUACGGGUGUUUUGGGUGAUGAUCAGAGCUUGGAACAAAUUUCGGUGGUGUGUGAGUUUUCGGAGGUAUUUCCCGAUGACAUUGAAGAAUUUUCACCUAACCAGGAAGUUGAGUUUGCUAUUGAGUUGGUGCCUGGAGCUGGACCAAUCUCGAGUGCUCUUUAUAGGAUGUCACCUCUAGAAAUGGCCGAAUUGAAGUCUCAACUGGAGGAUCUGUUGGGUAAGAACUUUAUCCGACCAAGUGUUUCUCUGUGGGGCGCACCGGUGUUCUGGUAAAGAAGAAAGAUGGGAGUAUGCACUUAUGUGUUAACUAUCGGCAGCUGAAUAAGAUUACUUUGAAGAAUAUAUACCCGUUGCCAGGGAUUGAUGACCUGAUGGACUAAUUACAAAGAGCCGGUGUGUUCUCCAAGAUUGACCUACGAUCCAGAUACCAUCAAAUAAGGGUCAGAGAUGAAGAUAUUCCUAAAACUACCUUCAUAACGCAUUAUAGCCACUAUGAAUACACAGUGAUGUCCUUCGGAUUGACUAAUGCUCCGGCGAUAUUCAUAGAUUACAUGAAUAGGAUUUUCCAUCCAUAUCUGGAUAAGUUUGUUGUAGUGUUUAUCGACGACAUUCUUAUCUACUCUAAGACAGAGGAUGAGCAUGCAGAGCACUUGCGAACAGUGCUGCAAAUCCUGAAGGAUAGGAAGUUGCAUGCCAAGCUAUCCAUGUGUGAGUUCUGGAAGUCUGAAGUGAAAUUUCUUAGUCAUGUGGUAAGUAAGCAAGGGAUAGCAGUAGAUCCUGCUAAGGUUGAGGCGGUGAUGAAUUGGGAGCGACCAACUUCAGUGAUGGAAAUCAGGAGUUUCUUAGGUUUGAUGAGUUAUUAUCGGAGGUUCAUUAAAGGGUUUUCAUAGCUCGCUUUGCCUUUGACCAAGCUGACCAGGAAGGAUGUUCCUUUUGAAUGGACUCCUGAGUGCGAGGAGAGUUUCCUUGCGUUGAAGCAGAGGUUGACUACUGCACCUGUAUUGGUGUUGCCUGAACCAAGAGAACCAUUUGAGGUAUACUGUGAUGCAUCCUUGAAGGGUUUAGGAUGGGUGUUAAUGCAGCAUCAUAAAGUUGUAGCUUAUGCCUCAUGUCAGUUAAGGCCACAUGAAAGAAACUAUCCAACUCAUGAUUUGGAACUCGCUACCGUGGUGUUUGCUUUGAAGAUUUGGAGGCACUAUCUCUAUGGUGUGAAAUUUCAAGUUUUCUCGGACCAUAAAAGCUUGAAGUACCUAUUUGAACAAAAAGAGUUGAAUAUGCGUCAGAGGAGGUGGAUGGAACUCCUAAAGGACUAUGACUUCGAGCUGAACUACCAUCCGGGAAAGGCGAAUGUGGUGGCAGAUGCCUUGAGUAGAAAAUCUCUAUGUGCCGCUUGGAUGAUGCUAAGAGAGGAACAAUUGCUAAAAGCCUUCCAAGGAUUGAAACUGGAAAUCAGAAAAGAGUUUGGGACUUUAUGCAUAAGUCAGUUAUAGAUUUCAAGCGACUUCAAGACUGAACUAGUAAAGGCUCAUCAGAAUGACCAAAAAUUGUAUAAGAUUUUGCCGGCAAUUGAGAAAGGAAAGCAAUAGAGAGUGUCAGAAGAUAAAGAUGGGUUGUGGAGGUUCAAGGGUCGGAUAAUUGUGCCAGAUGUCAGGGAUUUACGACAGAGCAUAUUGGAGGAAGCUCAUAAGAGCGGGUUCUCCAUUCAUCCGGGAAGCACCAAGAUGUACCAAGACCUAAAGACGAUGUUCUGGUGGCCAGGAAUGAAAAAUGAUGUGGCAUUGCAUGUUUUCAAAUGCUUAACUUGUCAGAAAGUCAAAAUCAAACAUCAAAGACCAGUAGGAACCCUUCAACCUUUGGAGAUUCCACAGUGGAAGUGGGAAAGCUUUGCUAUGGAUUUUGUGUUGGGUUUACCAAUAAAUCGGACAUGUUGUGAUGCUAUUUUGAUGGUUGUAGAUCGACUGACCAAGUCAGCUCAUUUUCUGCCUAUUCGGAUAAGUUGUACUAUGAAGGAGUUGGCUCGGUUAUACAUAAAGGAGAUUGUGAGGUUACAUGGCGUACCUUCCACUAUUGUAUCUGAUAGAGAUCCUCGCUUCACAUAAUGAUUUUGGGGAGCCUUUCAGCGAGCCUUUGGCACUCAAUUAAGCCUAAGUACUGCAUAUCAUCCUUAGACGGAUGGCCAAUCAGAAAGAACAAUCAAAACCUUGGAAGACAUGCUAAGAGCUUAUGUUUUGGACCAGUCAGCGAGCUGGGAUCGAUAUAUGCCUUUGGUAGAGUUUGCUUAUAACAACAGCUAUCAUGUGAGUAUUGGAAUGGCUCCAUAUGAAGCUUUGUAUGGAAGGAAAUGUCAGUCUCUGUUAUGUUGGUAUGAAGCAGGAGAAAAGAGCCUGAUAGGACCUGAAAUGAUAAGUGAAACCACUGAGCAAAUAAAGAAAAUCCGUAGUCGAAUGUUCAUGGCUCAAAGCCAUCAGAAAAGCUAUGCUAACCAAAGGCGGAAGCCUUUAGAGUUUAAGGAAGGAGAACACGUUUUCUGAAAGGUUACUCCGACCACUGCAAUAGGGAGGUCCAUCAAAACUAAGAAGUUAAAUCCCCGUUACAUUGGACCAUUUGAAAUCCUGAAGAGAAUUGGACCGGUGGCGUAUAGGAUCACUUUACCACCACAUCUUUCGAACCUGCAUGACGUGUUUCACGUAUCGCAGCUUCAUAAAUACACUUUUGAUCCUAGUCAUGUCCUAGAACCGGAAUCAGUCCAAGUGAGAGAAGAUCUGACGCUUCCAGUAACUCUGGUUAGGAUUGAUGAUACCAGCAUCAAGCAUUACGGGGAAAAGAGGUUUCUUUGGUAAAAGUAGCUUGGAGUCAGGCUGGUAUUGAAGAACAUACCUGGGAGCUUGAGUGAGAGAUGCGGAAGGACUACCCACACCUCUUUUCAGGUAACUCACUCUGAAUUUUGAGGACAAAAUUUCUAAUGAGGUGGGAAGGAUGUAAACCCCGCUAAAAUUGAUAAAUAAUUAGUCAAUAAAUUGAAUUUUAAUUAGAAAAAUUGAAAAUGCAAAACUAAUAUCAAAAUAGGAUAGAUCUCUUCAAAACAAGAAUUUUGAUACCAAUUUCAAAAAAUUUAGACCAAAAUUAGACCGAAAAGGCCGAACCGGUUGAACCGAGGCCCAAACCGAGCCCGUGGCUCCAACCGGACCCAUAAAAGAAGCAACAGCUCCUUCUACCCCAUUUCAUCCACAGCGACACCAAACAGAUUGAGGAGGAAGAAGAUGUAACUCCCUAAUUCGCCUAAGCCUUACCUUGCGUCGUAAAGUAAAGGUUAAUCAGAGAUUACGGCAGAUCUAAGCUCGUACAUAGUAUAUAUAUAUAGAAGGAAUAUAAUAAUCUAGAAGCUCGAUGAAAGAUAUAGCUCAAAAUCAUAGAAUUUGAAAUGCGCAAAUCGUACUAACGAACUACUAGCUUAACGCACAAGAAACAGAUAAGAUACAACAAAAUAUAAGUAUAUAAUACCAUAGGAAACUAGCCUCGAUUCGCGGAGUUUAAGCCGGCUAGCCAUAUAUAAGUAUACAUGAUUAUACAGAAAACUGACAGUUCUAAAACAACUUAUACAAAUUUUUCUCUCAUAAACAUGCCUCUAGGCAAAACAAAAUACAAAAGAGAGAUGUAUAAACAAAAUAAACCAAAAGACUCCAAAGGAAACCAAGAUCCUCCGCUCCUGUCACCAUCCAAAGCAACUCACCGGGGUGGCUUGCGACCUGCAUCUAAAAAACACAACAAAGAUAUGGUAUGAGAACCGGAGGUUCUCAGUAUGGUAACAGUGCCCAGUGAUGUAGGAUAUAAGACCCCGGGACGCCAAAGGCAAUCCUAAGCUCCAUAUCCAUCACAAGAUUCAAGCUUAAAGCAUUCUAAAACAAAUAAGCAUAAUAUAAACCUCAUCAUAAACAAACCGGGUGAUCUAUCUUAAGGGAUUUCUAAUUCUAAACAAACAUCGCUGUCCCACAGCCUUAACCAACCUAUCCUCCAUGCGAUCCCAUCGCCACCGCCUUCCGAACCUCCUCAAUCCCAGUAGAAAGCACAAUUAAUAACAAUGCAAGUAAUUCACAAGUAAAAUCAUAUAAGGCAAGUAGAUCAAGUAAGCAAAUAGACAUGUUAUUCAAUUAGGCAUACAAUUACAAGUCGGCAAAGCAAACAAACAGGUAGGAAAUGCAUAUGAUGAAUGCCUGCCCUACUGGCUGUGAUAUCACAUUGUCGGUUCAACUGCCAACCCGACACAUCUCCAUGGAGACGUCACCCUUCGGAUUUCUCAUAUGGGAACCCCCGAGAUAUAGUUCCCGGAUCACUGUCCAAGUAUCGGCGCAUACACACUCUAUAGGUCCGAAGGGAUGCGAGCGGGAUACUCUUGCCACAGACCUCACAUCUCAACACAAGCAGGAUGAACCACCGCCCUUGCACUGCCACCGCUACCUUGACAGGCGGGAUCCAACCGCCGUCUCUGCCGAAAGCAUAGCAUCUCAUAUUCUCAGUAAAAAUAAUAUUUCAGUGGUUUUCAGAAAAUAUUGUCAGUAUACAGAGAUCCAUCGUCUCAAUCCGAGUCCUCGACUCACUCAACCACUGUCCCUUUCAUAACUCAGUUCCCAAGGUCAAGAGUUCAUCAUUCCUUAUCUCAUAUAUCACUCAUCCUCCACCCAACGUCACAUCAUUCUCAGCACGCCAGAAACCUAAGCCUCCAUUUUCUAAUUUAUCAUAAAACUGUGUUCUAGAAACCUUAAGUUUUAAAAUGGUGUUUUAGAAGCUUACAACCAUGUUGGAAAGGUAGAAUAAUUGAAAACAAAUAAAAUUUUGAGAAACAGGAUGUGUGCGGCCACACAAGGGUCUGUGCGUGCGCACACUCCUAAGAGUUUUGAAAUGUGUGCGUACGCACAGGGGUGUUGGUGCACGAAUUGUGAAUCACACUUUUCACAACGCGUACCACUAACCAGCAAGUGCACUGGGUCGUCCAAGUAAUACCUUACGUGAGUAAGGGUCGAAUCCCACGGAGAUUGUUGGUUUGAAGCAAUCUAUGGUUAUCUUGUAAGUCUUAGUCAGGAAGUCAAUUAUGUUUAUCAGUUGAAUUGCAAAUAAACAAUAGAGCAUGGAUUAAAGGUUACUUGUUAUGCAGUAAUGGAGAAUAUGUUGGAGUUUUUGGAGAUGCUUUGUCUUCUGAAUCUCUGCUUUCCUCUGUCUUCACGCCAAAUUCUUGCCCAUUUCUGGCGUUGAACGCCAAUCCUGCCUUGUUUCUGGCGCUGAACGCCAGUUUUGGGCAUGGUCUGGGCGUUCAGCGCCAGCCUUCCACCCAUUUUCUGGCGUUUUAGUGCCAGAAUUAUUUUUCCCUAGGCUCUUACUGUCCUCAGGUGAAUCUUUGGUGGGUCGCUCAUUUCUUGAAUUUUUGAUGCCUUGAGGUGGGGUAUUUAAUGUUUUUCCACUUCUUAAUUGAACUGCUUGGCAUUCUUCUGCUAUUUGCCUUGAUAGCUGCUUCUUUGUUUGCUUAAACUGUUCGUCCAUAUGUAUAUUAGCUAUCCUUGUCUCCUGUAGCCUGUCCUUGAAUUCAGCUAGCUGCUUUGUUAGAAAAUCCAAUUGCUGAUUGAAUUCAGCAGCUUAUUUUACAGUACUGAAUUCAGCAGUUACUGUUUUAACCUCUUCAUUCAUGGAAGGGUUGCUGCUUAGAUAGGAUUCUCUUUAAUUCUCUGUUGGAGACUUCAGCUUGCCCGUUGGUUUGUGGAUGAUAUGGAGUGGCCACUUUGUGGCGAAUUUCAUACCGAACCAUGGCAGAGUAAAGCUGUUUAUUGCAGAAGUGAGUGCCCCCAUCACUGAUUAACACUCCAGGGACACCAAACCUGCUAAAGAUAUGUUUCUGGAGGAACUUCAGCACUGUUUUAGUAUCAUUGGUGGGUGUGGCGAUAGCCUCAACCCAUUUUGAUACAUAGUCAACUGCCACUAGAAUAUAAGUGUUUGAGUAUGAUGGUGGGAAAGGUCCCAUGAAGUCAAUUCCCCAUACUUUGUGCAAAGUAUGGACUAUUAUAUAUUGCUGGAAAGCCCUGGAUGUCUACUUUCCAACGCAAUUGGAAGCAUGCCAUUUUGAGUUCUGUAGCUCCAGAAAAUCCACUUUGAGUGCAAGGAGGUCAGAAUCCAACAACAUCAGCAGUCCUUUUUCAGCCUGAAUCAGAUUUUUGCUCAGCUCCUUCAAUUUCAGCCAGAAAAAUACCUGAAAUUACAGAAAAACACACAACUCAUAGUAAAGUCCAGAAAUAUGAAUUUUUCCUAAAAACUACUAGAAAUAGACUAAAAACUAACUAAAACAUACUCUAAACUAUAUGAAAUUAUCCCCAAAAAGCGUAUAAAAUAUCCGCUCAUCAGGUGUGCGUACGCACAGGUGUAAAUUUUUACAAGGAUCUGUGCACUCGCACAACCUGUGCCAGCGCCCCCAACAGACUGACCUUCCCGACGCGUGCGUCCGCAUAGGUUGAAGUUUUUCCUUAGAUGUGUGCGCGGACAAGCUGUGCUGGCGCUGCGAACAGAAUGCACUUUCCUGCCUAUGCGUGCGCACAGAUGUGUGCGUUCGCACAGGUUGAAAUAUUUGCAGGAUGUGCGUCCACACAUGGGUGUGCGCCCGCACACAUCAAAAAUCUUGAAAUUCUGCAACUUUGCAGAAUUUCAGAUUUUUAACACCAACUUUGAAGGAUCAUAACUUCCUCUACAAAAUUCCAAUUUUCACAAAUUUUAUAUCGAUCUAAAGAGUUUUCAAAGAUAUAUAAUUAUAAAUAAAUUUCAAUCAAUUUUGAAAACCGAGGCAAAAGUUAUGAUCAAGCAAAGUUCACCAAAAACUCAAUUUUACCAAACUUCACAACUUACACAAUUUAUUACCAUUCACAUUCCAACCCUUACCAUACCAUUCCAAAACUCCAUUUUUCAUCAAAAUGUACCUAUUGUAUCAUAAUACACCAACCUUGCCACAUUCUCCUUCUCAUUUCAUUACUUUCAAUUCCAACAAUCAACCAUAUAACACUUUAUGAUCCAAAUCACCAUCACACUCACCAUUUCAUAAGUCAUCGUACUACAAUCAUCAUAAGGAACCAACUUUUAAUCCAUACAAUCAUUCAACAUCAACACAUCAUUAAAAUUCAUCACAAUCAACCCAACAAUCAUCAAUUCAUCAUCAUAUAACACACCAACCAUCAUUUUAGUUCAAUCUAUCUUAUUGGUCACUAGCCUAUGUGUCCAUGAAUAUUAUAUACUACAUAGAGGAAACCGAAACCAUACCUUGCCCGAUUCUCCUUUAUGCACCAAAACUCAAAUUGAUCACCAAAUAGCUUUCAACCAAAUUCCAAGCUUUCACAUCCACUCCAAUAAGCACAAAUAAGUUCCAAGAGCUCCCAAAGCCACAACAAUCAAACUAUAUACAUAUAAAUCACCACCAAUCAACCUAGGGCUUCACAUAAAUCAAAUCUCACAAGGGUUUAGUAUCUCUUACCUCUCCCAACAGAUUUGAUUGCCACAAUCCAAGGCUAAGCAAGGAUUAGAGCAACCUAACAUCCAAAAUCACAAAAACUCAUUUAAUCAAAAAUCCUAUAAACCCAAAAUUUUGAGGAGAGAAACUGAGAAGGAUUCGAGAUUUUCUUACCAGUUUCUUAUAUGGGUUUUGUAGAGCUCUUCACAAGAAACGCGUAGCCACUGAUGGCACGCAAAUCGGAGCUCUCUAGCUCAAGAUAUCGCGAAGAGAAGAGAUGGGUGAAUAGUGCUCUUCGGGUUUCUUCUUCCUCUCUUCAAUUCAGCAUGAGUGUUGUGUUUAUGUGUGUGUGUGGGCUGGAAAUGGGUUCAUUAAUGAACCUUUUAUAUGUUGGGCUUAGGCCCAACUUAGGCCUGGUCCAACCCGUUAGCGUUUUUAGCCCGUUUGGCCCAACUUCAGGCCAAACCUUUAAAAUUAAUGCUUGGUUUUCCAUUUCUAACAUUUUUCUAAUAUUUUUGCCGGUUUUUACUUUUUCUCAUGUGGUACCAGGCAGACUUGAACCGGUUCAACCGGUUCAACUGCCGAUUUAUGGUUUUUCACGAUUUUUCGCAGACAGCACAUUUUCUGACUCAGAAAAACCCACUGAGUCCAAAAAUCACCUUUGAAUCCUCAAAUUCUCACUCUAAGUUUUCGAGAUUUAAUUUGGGCAAUAUUAAUUACUAAACUAACCAGUUGAUUAGUUGCGGUUCUUACAUUCUCCCCACCAAAUAAGAAAUUUUGCCCUCAAAAUUUUAAUUACGUGAGAAAAGACCAGGAUAAUUCUUUCGCAUUUCAGACUCCAAUUCCCAAGUGUGCUCUUCUACUCCUACUCGUUCCCAAGCAACUUUAACCAAUGGGACAUCCUUUCCUCGUAGCUUCUUCACACUAUCGAUCCUCACUGGUGUUACUUGGAAAGUCAGAUUCUCUUUCAACUCGACCGAUUCAGGCUCCAACACAUGAGCUGCAUCCGAUGUGUACUUACAGAGUUGUGACACGUGGAAUACGUCAUGCAAGUUAGACAGAUGAGGUGGCAAAGCGACUUGAUACGCCACCGGCCCGAAUCUCUUUAGAAUCUCAAACGGUCCUAUGUAUCUCGGGUUCAACUUCUUGGUCUUGAUUGCUCUUUCAAUCCCAGUUGUCAGUGUAACCUUGAGGAAUACAUGUUCUCCUACUUCAAACUCUAAUAGUUUUCUUCUCUGAUCCGUAUAACUCUUUUGUCGACUCUGAGCAGUCAAAAUCCUUUCUCGUAUUCUCUUAUCUUCUCAGUAGUCUCUGCUACCACAUCUGGACCCAAAACACUUGCUUCACCAGAUUCAUACCAACAAAGUGGAGACUGGCACUUCCGUCCAUACAAGGCCUCAUACGGAGCCAUCCCAAUGCUCGCAUGAAAGCUGUUGUUGUAUGCAAACUUCACCAACGGCAUGUAAUGGUCCCAACUUCCAGGUUGAUCCAAAACACACGCUCUUAGCAUAUCCUCCAAUGUCUGAAUAGUCCUUUCCAACUUUCCAUCGGUUUGCGGAUGAUAUGCGGUACUGAGACAUAGCUUCGUACCGAAAGCCCUUUAGAAGGCUCCCCAAAACCUUGAAGUGAAUCGAGGAUCAUGGUCCGAUACUAUGCUCGACGGCACACCAUGUAAUCUUACUAUCUCCUUGAUGUACAAUCUUGAUAACUCUUCCAUAGAACAGUUUACUCGGAUAGGUAGAAAAUGAGCGGAUUUGGUUAAGCGAUCCACGAUCACCCAAAUUGCAUCAAAUCCCGACCUAGUCCUCGGUAAACCGGUCACAAAAUCCAUCGCAAUUCCUUUCCACUUCCACUGAGGAAUCUCAAGUGGUUGUAACAUUCCUAACGGUUUCUGAUGCUCUUUCUUCACUUUCUGAUAAGUCAAACAUUUGGAUACCACGGUUGCUACAUCACCUUUUUCAUCCCAGGCCACCAGAACAUCCUCUUCAAGUCAUAAUACAUCUCCGUGCUUCCGGGAUGAAUAGAAAACCCACUGUUGUGAGCCUUCGACAGCAAGUCUCGCCUCAAACUCCCAACAUCCGGUAUGCAAAUUCUUCCCUUGUAUCUCCAUAACCCUUCAUCAUCCUUAGUGAAUUCUUCGCACCUCUUAUCACCAACUGGUUGGAACAAUUAUUAAAGCUUCUGCUCAUCUUGCUGAGCCCUUUUGUAUUUCUGAUUUAAACAUGCUUGAGAUUUGUAACUGGUUCAAACAAGAUCUUCCAACAACUUCACCAAUAUUCAGCUUAAGAUCUACAAACUUAUCCACUAGCUCUUCUUCCUUGAUUCUCAUCCAAGCAAUUGUUAAAGAUUUCCGACUCAAAGCAUCGGCUACCACGUUUGCCUUUCCAGGAUGAUAACUCAUCUCAAAAUCAUAAUCUUUCAGCAACUCCAUCCACCUCCUCUGACGCAUAUUUAGUUCCUUGAUGAGUGGAUAAUUUAUACGCUUUUUGACAUUAUUUUUACAUAGUUUUUAGUAUGAUUUUGUUAGUUUUUAGUAUAUUUUUAUUAGUUUUUAAUUAAAAUUCACAUUUCUGGACUUUACUAUGAGUUUGUGUGUUUUUCUGUGAUUUCAGGUAAUUUCUGACUGAAAUUGAGGGACCUGAGCAAAAAUCUGAUUCAGGCUGAAAAAGGACUGCAGAUGUUGUUGGAAUCUGACCUCCCUGCACUCAAAGUCAAUUUUCUGGAGCUACAGAACUCCAAAUGGCGUGCUCUCAAUUGCGUUGGAAAGUAGACAUCCAGGGCUUUCCAGAAAUAUAUAAUAGUCCAUACUUUGCUCGAGUUUAGAUGAUCAAAACUGACAUUCAACGCCAAUUCCAUGCUGCAUUCUGGAGUUAAACUCCAGAAACAGGUUGCAAAGUGGAAUUAAACGCCAGAAAUAGGUAACAAACUGGCGUUCAACUCCAAGAGAAGCCUCUACACGUGUAAAGCUCAAUGCUUAGCCCAAGCACACACCAAGUGGGCCCUAGAAGUGGAUUUCUGCAUCAUUUACUCAUUUCUGUAAACCCUAGUAACUAGUUUAGUAUAAAUAGGAUUUUUUACUAUUGUAUUUACAUCUUCGGAUCAGAUCUUUGAUCAGUUUUAUGCUAUCUUAGACCUUUAUAGGGGCUGGCCAUUCAGCCAUGCCUGGACCAUCAUCACUUAUGUAUUUUCAACGGUAGAGUUUCUACACACCAUAGAUUAAGGUGUGGAGCUCUGCAGUUCCUCAUUAAUUAAUGCAAAAUACUAUUGUUUUUCUAUUCAAUUCAAGCUUAUUCCUAUUUUAAGAUAUCCAUUUGCACCCAAGAACAUGAUGAAUGUGAUGAUUAUGUGACGCUCAUCAUCAUUCUCACUUAUGAACGCGUGCCUGACAAACACUUCCGUUCUACAUGCAAACAAGCUAGAAUGAAUAUCUCUUGGAUAUCUAAUACAGGGGACCGAGUCUGAGAUAUUAGAAUCUUCGUGGUAUAAGUUAGAACCCAUGGAUGGCCAUUCCUGAGAUCCGGAAAGUCUAAACCUUGUCUGUGGUAUUCCGAGUAGGAUCUGGGAAGGGAUGGCUGUGACGAGCUUCAAACUCGCGAGUGCUGGGCGUAGUGACAGACGCAAAAGGAUAGUAAAUCCUAUUCCAGUAUGAUCGAGAACCGACAGAUGAUUAUCCAUGCAGUGACAGCGCAUUGGACCAUUUUCACAGAGAGGACGGAAUGUAGCCAUUGACAACGGUGAUGCCCAACAUACAGCUUGCUAUGGAAAGGAGUAGGAAUGAUUGGAUGAAGACAGCAGGAAAGCAGAGGUUUAGAGGAACGAAAGCAUCUCUAUACGCUUAUCUAAAAUUCUCACCAAUGAAUUACAUAAGUACCUCUAUCUUUAUUUUACGUUUUAUUUAUCUUUUUAUUAUCAAUUCACCAUAACCAUUUGAAUUCGCCUGACUGAGAUUUACAAGGUGACCAUAGCUUGCUUCAGGCCGACAAUCUCCGUGGGAUCGACCCUUACUCACGUAAGGUUUAUUACUUGGACGACCCAGUGCACUUGUUGGUUAGUUGUGCGAAGUUGUGAUAAAGAGUUGAGAUUAUAAUUGUGCGUACCAAGUUGUUGGCGCCAUUGAUGAUCACAAUUUCGUGCACCACUCCUUCUGAUCAAAGAUGUACUUGAGACUCUUAUGAUCAGAAAAUACGCUAAACCUCACUUCAUACAAGUGGUGUCUCCAAAUCUUCAAUGCAAACACAAUCGCCACUAAUUCCAAGUCAUGAGUAGGGUAAUUCAUCUCAUGCGGUCUCAGCUGACGCGAUGCGUAAGCCACCACAUUCCGAUGUUGCAUCAACACGCAACCCAAACCUUUCAGCGAUGCAUCACAAUAUACUUCGAAUGGUUCAUGCGGUUCUGGCAAAAUCAAAACUGGCGCUGAAGUCAACUUCUGCUUCAAAGUUUGGAAACUCUCUUCGCAUUCCGACGUCCACACGAAUGGCACUUCUUUCCUCGUUAAUUUUGUCAUCGGUAGCGCAAUCCGGGAAAAUCCUUUGAUAAAUCUCCGGUAAUAUCCGGCUAAACCCAAAAAGCUCCUGACUUCCAUCACAGUCGUCGGUCUUUCCCAUUCCAUCACCGUUUCUACCUUAGAAGGGUCUACCGCUAUUCCUCCUUUGCUCACCACAUGACCUAAGAACUUUACUUCUUCCUUCCAGAACUCGCACGACAACUUAGCGUACAACUUUCACUCCUUUAGAAUUUGUAGCACAAUCCUCAAGUGCUCCUCAUGUUCUUUUGCCGUUUUAGAGUAAACCAAGAUGUCAUCUAUGAAAACCACUACGAAUUUGUCCAAAAAGGGAUGAAAGACUCUGUUCAUGUAAUCCAUAAAAACAGCAGCUGCAUUCGUUAACCCAAAGGACAUUACCGCAAACUCAUAGUAUCUAUAGCGUGUUCUAAACGUAGUCUUAGGAAUAUCAUCCUCCUUCACCCUUAUCUGAUGGUAACCGGAUCUCAAAUCAAUCUUGGAAAAUACUCCAGCUCCUUGGUAUUGAUCUAUCAAGUCAUCUAUUCUUGCCAGUGGGUACUUGUUCUUCAUACUCACCUUGUUCAACUGUCGGUAAUCCACGCACAAACGCAUUCCCCCAUCUUUCUUCUUCACCAAUAAACUGGCGCUCUCCACGGUGAUACACUCGGCCGAAUGAACAUCUUGUUCAGAAGCUCUUCCAACUGAGUCUUUAACUCUGCCAGCUCUAUCAGAGCCAUUCUAUACGACGCAAUCGACACUGGCCCGGAUCCCGGCACCAAUUCGAUCGCAAAUUCAAUUUCCCUCGGAGGUGGAAACUCAGGGAUAUCUUCCAGGAAUACUUCUGGAAAAUCUCUAACCACCAGUAUCUGAUCUAAGUUCUGGGCAUCACCCAACGCAUUAGCAGCAAACAGAACAUAACCCUGACACUCCUCCCCACUACAAUGCACCAUUACAGAGUUCAGGUAAUACCCCGUAGCUACCACUGCUCCAUUUUUUCCUUCCGACAUAAACCGAAUUGUCCGUUCAAAAUAAUCCAACAAAACCCGGUUCUUCGACAACCAAUCAAACCCCAAAAUCAUCUCCAGCCCCACCAUUGGUAAACAAAUCAAAUCAUGCACAAAGUCUCUACCCUCAAGCUUAAAACUUACUUGUCUACAACCUAACCUAGUCAUAACUAUUUGAUGUGGAGUGUGUACAUGCAGAUCAAAAGGUAAUUCUGACUCUUUCAAGCCUAAUUCCUCAACUUUAGCAAACGAAAUAAACGAAUGCGAAGCUCCAGUAUCAUAUAAUGCAACUAAAGAUUUAUCACCAAUUAAAAAUAUACCUCUCAUCAACGGAUCCGCCUUAGAAGCAUCCUUGGCAUUCACAGCAAAGACUCAACCUUGAUGCUGACUCUGGCCCGCAUUCUGAUUCCUCCCACGAGUGCAAUCCCUCGCAAUGUGGCCAGGCAACCCACAAUUGAAACAACCACCUAAACCAAUUUUGCAUGAGUCAUAAGGAUGGAAACGCCCACAAUGUACAUAAGUCAAAUCUGGAGAACUCUUACUCUGAUUUCCUCUCCCUUUGCCACGCUGAAUCUGGUCAUGUGUGUUCUUUCUGAAGCCUCCUUGACCUUGAGGCACAUAUACUCCUCUCUUGAAGCUUUGUCCUCUCGGAUGAAGGUACCUGCCACGCCCCCGACUAGAACUCCCUCUAUGAGUGUCCUUAGAUGCCACCACUGUCUUGGCAUACUCCUCCACUACUCUAGCCUUAUUCACCAAGUCGGAGAAGACAUGGAUCUCCAUAGGAGCCACAGCAGUCAUAAUGUUGUCCUUCAAACCCCUUUGGUACUUAAUGUAUCUCCAGCUCUCAAAAGUCUCUGGGUCACCCUGACACACCCGAGAAAACCUACAAAGCUCUUCGAACUUGUUGGUGUACUCAGCCACAGACAUGGAACCUUGCUUCAGCUGCAUUAGCUGCAUCUCCUUCGCUUCUCUUGCAGACUCAGGGAAAUACUUCUUAUAGAAAGCAGUUUGAAACACCUCCCAUGGAAUGUCAGCGUUCUGAAGCUGUAGCACACGACACUCAGCUUGCCACCAGGGCUGGGCUUCUCCCGCUAGCUGAUAAGUGGCAAACUCUACAUACUGAUUGAGUGGAACAUGCUGCGCCUAUAAAGCAUGCUCCAUAGCCUGGAACCAGUGGUCCGCUUCAACAGGAUUUGUGGAACCUCAAAAAGUUGGCGGAUGAACCUUGAGGAACGUUGCCAAGGUCAUCAGAACUACUCCCAUGUUAUCGCUGUUUCCCUCAGCAUUAUCAUUGGCAUUUCCUUCUCCGUUCCCAUUGCCAUUCCCCGCCGGUUGGCCUAACCUCUGCACAGCUUGCAGAGUCGCAGCAGCAUUUGCUUCCGUGGUGUUUGCUAAGUUAGCCAUGGCCGCUAUAAACUCGACAUGGUUAUCAGUUGGUUGCUCAUUCCUACUUUCUCGCGUACGUGUUCGACCUCGCCUGCGAGUAGCCAUGUAGGGUUCCUGUCUACACCAAACAAUCAUUAUCAAGGUGAUCAGUCUCAAUAUCAAGAGCCUAGUGCUUCAAUUAUCCCAAACAGGCACUCACAAACAAGCAUGCUAUGCAUAUAUCAAGUAGAUAACCUAAUAGCAUCAAAGAAAUGACACAUAGAGUAUGCAAUGAAGCGCAAUCGGUCCAUCCCUCAGGCUCACGAGGACAAACCGCUCUGAUACCACUAAAUGUAACACCCUAAUUCGCCUAAGCCUUACCUCGCAUCGUAAAGCAAAGGUUAAUCAGAGAUUACGAUAGUUCUAAGCUCGUACAUAGUAUAUAUAUAGAAGGAAUAUAAUAAUCUAGAAACCCGAUGAAAGAUAUAGCUCAAAAUCAUAGAAUUUGAAAUGCGCAAAUCGUACUAACGAACUACUAGCUUAACGCACAACAAACAGAUAAGAUACAAUAAAAUAUAAGUAUAUAAUACCAUAGGAAACUAGCCUCGACUCGCGGAGUUUAAGCCGAAUAGCCAUAUAUAAGUAUACAUGAUUAUACAGAAAACUGACAGUUCUAAAACAGCUUAUACAAGUUUUUCUCUCAUAAACAUGCCUCUAGGAAAAAAAAUACAAAAGAGAGAUAUAUAAACAAAAUAAACCAAAAGACUCCAAAGGAAACCAAGAUCCUCCACUCCUAUCACCAUCCAAAACAACUCACCGGGGUGGGUUACGACCUGCAUCUGAAAAACACAACAAAGAUAUGGUAUGAGAACCAGAGGUUCUCAUUAUGGUAACAGUGCCCAGUGAUGUAGGAUAUAAGACCCCGGGACACCAAAGGCAAUCCUAAGCUCCAUAUCCAUCACAAAAUUCAAGCUUAAAGCAUUCUAAAACAAAUAAGCAUAAUAUAAACCUCAUCAUAAACAAACCGGGUGAUCUAUCUUAAGGGAUUUCUAAUUCUAAACAAACACCGCUGUCCCACAGCCUUCACCAACCUAUCCUCCAUGCGAUCCCAUCGCCACCGCCUACCGAACCUCCUCAAUCCCAGUAAAAAGCAUAAUUAAUAACAAUGCAAGUAAUUCACAAGUAAAAUCAUAUAAGGCAAGUAGAUCAAGUAAGCAAAUAAACAUGUUAUUCAAUUAGGCAUACAAUUACAAGUCGACAAAGCAAACAAACAGGUAGAAAAUGUAUAUGAUGAAUGCCUGCCUUACUGGCUGUGAUAUCACAUUGUCGGUUCAACUUCCAACCCGACACAUCUCCAUGGAGACGUCGCCCUUCGGAUUUCUCAUAUGGGAACCCCCGAGAUAUAGUGCCGGGAUCACUGUCCAGGUACCGGCACCUGCACGCUCUAUAGGUCCGAAGGGAUGCGAACGGGAUACUCUUGCCACAGACCUCACAUCUCAACGCAAGCGGGACGAACCACUACCCUUGCGCCGCCACUGCUACCUCGACAGGCGGGAUCCAACCGCCGUCCCUGCCGGGCGCAUAGCGUCUCAUAUUCUCAGUAAAAAUAAUAUUUCAGUGGUUUUCAAAAAAUAUUUUCAGUAUACAGAGAUCCAUCAUCUCAAUCCGAGUCCUCGACUCAUCUCAACCACUGUCCCUUUCAUAACUCAGUUCCCAAGGUCAAGAGUUCAUCGUUCCUUAUCACAUAUAUCACUCAUCCUCCACCUAACGUCAAAUCAUUCUCAGCAAGCCAGAAACCUAAGCCUUCAUUUUCUAAUUUAUCAUAAAACUGUGUUCUAGAAACCUUAAGUUUUAAAAAUGGUGUUUUAGAAGCUUACAACCAUUUUGGGAAGGUAGAAUAGUUGAAAACAAAUAAAAUUUUGAGAAACAGGAUGUGUGCGGCCGCACAAGGGUCUGUGCGUGCGCACACUCCUAAGAGUUUUGAAAUGUGUGCGUACACACAGGGGUGUGCGUACGCAUAGGUGUAAAUUUUUACAAGGAUCUGUGCACUCGCACAACCUGUGCCAGCGACCUAACAGACAGACCUUCCCGACGUGUGCAUCCGCACAGACCUGUGCGUCCGCUAAAGUUGAAGUUUUUCCUUAGAUGUGUGCGCGCACAAGCUGUGCUGGCGCUGCGAACAGAACGCACUUCCCUGCCUGUGCGUCCACACAAGGGUGUGCGCCCGCACACAUCAGAAAUCAUGAAAUUCUGCAACUUUACAGAAUUUCAGAUUUUUAACACCAACUUUGAAGGAUCAUAACUUCCUCUACUAAAUUCCAAUUUUCACAAAUUUUAUAUCGAUCUAAAGAGUUUUCAAAGAUCUUUAAUUAUAAAUAAAUUUCAAUCAAUUUCAAAAACCGAGGCAAAAGUUAUGAUCGAGCAAAGUUCACCAAAAACUCCAUUUUACCAAACUUCACAACUUACACAAUUUAUUACCAUUCACAUUCCAACCCUUACCAUACCAUUCCAAAACUCCAUUUUUCAUCAAAAUGUACCUAUUGUAUCAUAAUACACCAACCUUACCACAUUCUCCUUCUCAUUUCAUUACUUUCAAUUACAACAAUCAACCAUAUAACACUUUAUGAUCCAAAUCACCAUCACACUUACCAUUUCAUAAGUCAUCAUACUACAAUCAUCAUAAGGAACCAACUUCCAAUCCAUACAAUCAUUCAACAUCAACACAUCAUUAAAAUUCAUCACAAUCAACCCAACAAUCAUCAAUUCAUCGUCAUAUAACACACCAACCAUCAUUUUAGUUCAACCUAUCUUAUUGGUCACUAGCCAUGAAUAUUAUAUACUAGAUAGAGGAAAUCGAAACCAUACCUUGGCCGAUUCUCCUUUAUGCACCAAAACUCAAAUUGAUCACCAAAUAGCUUUCAACCAAAUUCCAAGCUUUCACAUCCACUCCACUAAGCACAAAUAAGUUCCAAGAGCUCCCAAAGCCACAACAAUCAAACUAUAUACAUAUAAAUCACCACCAAUCAACCUAGGGCUUAACAUAAAUCAAAUCUCACAAGAGUUUAGUAUCUCUUAUCUCUCCCAACAGAUUUGAUGGCCACAAUCUAAGGCUAAGCAAGGAUUAGAGCAAACCUAACAUCCAAAAUCACAAAAACUCAUUUAAUCAAAAACCCUAUAAACCCGAAAUUUUGAGGAGAGAAACUGAGAGGGAUUCGAGCUUUUCUUACCAAUUUCUUAUAUGGAUUUUUUAGAGCUCUUCACGAGGAACGCGUAGCCACUGACGGCACGCAAAUCGUAGCUCUCUAGCUCAAGAUAUCGCGAAGAGAAGAGAUGGGUGAAUAGUGCUCUUAGGGUUUCUUCUUCCUCUCUUCAAUUCAACAUGAGUGUUGUGUUUAUGUGUGUGUGUGGGCUGGAAAUGGGUUCGUUAAUGAACCUUUUAUAUGUUGGGCUUGGGCCCAACUUGGGCUCGGUCUAACCCGUUAGUGUUCUUAGCCCGUUUGGCCCAACUUCGGGCCAAACCUUUAAAAUUAAUGUCCGGUUUUUCAUUUCUAACAUUUUUCAAACGUUUUUGCCGGUUUUCACUUUUUCUCAUGCAGUACCGGGCAGAUUUCAACCGGUUCAACUGUCGGUUCGCGGUUUUUCACGGUUUUUCGUAGAAAACACAUUUUUUGACACAGAAAAACCCACUGAGUCCAAAAAUUACCUUUAAAUCCUCAAAUUCUCACUCUAACUUUUCUGAAUCUAAUUUGGGUAAUAUUAAUUACUAAACUAACCGAUUGAUUAGUUGCGAUUCUUAGUGAUGCACAUGACCUGGCCCGGCCUGGUCCCGAACACUUUAGGGGAUAAUUUGGUGUGAUUUCAUCGGGUUUAGGACCGGAUAAGGGUCUCAAAUAUAGACCCGGUCAUUAUUUCAAGUCGAAUCCGGGUCAUAGCUCGGGUCACCCGAAGUCGGCCCGGGGGCCCGGUCAUCAUACACAGUUAAUAUUUUGUGUUAUUAGUGAUGUAUAAUGACUAUUCUUAUGUGGAAUUUAAGUAUUGUAAACCUUAAUAUUUUGUGUUAUUAGUCAUUAUAAGACUAUAAGUUAAUGUUUUAUGUUUAGAAUGCAUAAAACUUUAGACUAAUGCAUAAUAUCGUGUUAUUUGUAUUGAUUUAAAUAUUUGGUAUUAUUAGACAAUAUUAGUAUUGAUUGUGGUUAUACUUUAAUAUUGAUUGUGGUUAUGCUUUAAUUUUGAAGAAGGGUUGGUUCUUGUUAUAUUUUUCUAAGUGAAUUUUACCAUGUUAAAUAAUAGUUGGAGUCUUAGAAAUUUGGAUAUUUUUACAUUAUAGCUUACAAGAAGGUAUCAACGUAAUGUAAUGUUAACGGCCCAGAUUUCACUCGGUAUAAUUGUGGCCCGAAAGUGUAUUAGUUUCAUCAGGUCUAGGGUCGGGUUCGGGUCUAAUAAAUAGACCCGGAGUAUAUUUCAGGCCGGAUCUGGGUCACAUCAAACCCGGCUUCACCCGGCCCAUGUGCACCCCUAGCGGUUCUUACAGAAGAACUCCCUAACCCUCAUCAAACACUCCAACCACCAUAACUUCCCUGUUUGAGCUCCGAUUGCCACACCGUUCGCAGCCACACGUCCAGCGCGUCGAGCUCUAUAUUUCUAUUAGAUUAAUUUCAUUGGUAAGCUCCAUUUUAGUUCCAGAAUCUCUAUUUCCUUUCUAUUCUUGAAUUUGAAACCCUAUGGUGAGAUUUUGCCCAAUUUGGUGUUUUAGGUUCGAUUUAGCUUGUGGGGGUUGUUGGGUUCGAGUUGCUAUAUGUAUUGGUGAGGUAAGAAUGCCCUAAACCUUAAUUCAAUUUUAACUUCAUUAGGUAAAAUCUGAAUUUGAAAUAUAUAUGCGUAUUAGGUGUGAAUUAAGUUCAUAUACAUGCUUUGGAAUUGAAAAGUGAACAUUUGGAGGCUUGCUGGUGAUUGAGGCUAAGUUUGUGGCUGGUUACUCUAACCUUGAGGGGCUAUUUUAAAGCUUGUGAGGCUGCCUUGGAUUAAAUAAAGCGAUCGGCCAAGGUAUAGUUUAGGUUUUGCACGUUUAACAUUUAAGGUGUUGUGAAAACUUAGGCUAGAGAACCAUAGGUUAAGUUUAAUUGGUUAAAUGCAUUAAAUGAUUAGUUGGGUGAAGAUGUUAGAUAAAUUUAUGGUUGAACUUGUAUUGGAGUUUAUGAUCACAAGUUGGUGCAGUUAUUGAAUAUGUGUUCUUGAAAUUGAGCUAGUGUUGAAAGUUAUGAGCAUGAAUUGUUGGUAUUGAAUAUGUGUUCUUGAAAUUAUUAAUGAAGGGUUGAUGAAGAUGUUGAUAUAUGUUAAUGGAAUUUAAUUGAUAUAUGUUAAUGAAGGGUUGCUCAUAUAUGUGAUAUAUGUUGAUAUAUAUUGGUGGUUAAGGCUUGUUGAAUUAGUUAAAGGUAAAUUUGGGAGUGGUUGUUAAUGAAAUGGGCUUGAUAUGUUAAUAAUAUGUAGGUUUUAUGGGUAGGGAAUGUGAAUUUGGUGAAAAUAAGGUUUGGGUAUUAUUUGGUAAAAAGUGAAUUUUGGUGAACUUUGGAAGUCCAUAACUUGCUCCUCAAUUUUUGGAUGGAAUUGUGGUUUGUUUCAAAUGAAAUAUGGUUUUAUAAGCUUUUGAAUGAUAUCAAUUUUGUGAAAAACAGAAUUUUGUAGAGAAAUUUAUGGACAAUGGAAGUUUGGUGUAUAAAACUGUGUUAUACAGGUGCUAAAAACUGGUUGUAGCAGCUUUCUGGGCAUUCUGCCAAUUUUUGGAAAACGUCAAUCCACGCAUACGCGUGGCCCACGCAUACGCGUGGCGUGGUAUUUUAACGACGGAUGCGCGAGUAGCCAUGCGUACGCGUGACGUGCUGUUCGCUCCACGCGUGCGCUUGGCCCACGCGCACGCAUGACCCCUGUUUGCUGCAAAAACUAGAUUUUUGGCACUUUAAAUCAGAUUUUUACUUCUAAACCUCCAUUUUCCUUCCUUUUAGACUUAGGGUAAAGUGCUAAGUCCUGUAGCUAGUUGAAGCUAGGAAAAUAAGAUAACUUGGGGAUGAAGUAAGAGGUAAAAUGAUGAAUUAUAUAAAGGAAAUGAGAAAGUUAAAUGAAGUUUAAUGCCAUGGCUUGAUAAAUGUUUAUAUAUUGAUUAUGAAAAUGAAAUGGCUUAUGAAUGAUGAUAUCUGAGAUAUGAGUUUUCUUGGGUAAGAACCGUGGCUUGCCACCACAUAUUCCAGGUUGAAUCUCGAUACUCUGCUGAUCCUACGUCGUAAGGGUGACCGGGCACGUAUAAAUUCCCGGGUAUGGAUAGCCCUCAUUGAGUGAUUACAUGAUGAAUGAAUGUAAAAUCUAUGCAUAGACUCUUGGGGAUGCGCGACGGGAGACAGUCUAAGGUUUUCGAACUUGUCGGGUUGGCUGGAUAACCGACAGAUGAGCCUCAUCAGCCAUAGGACAGGCAUGCAUCAUGUGCAUUUGUUUGUUUUGAUUGCUAUGCAUUUCCUGAGUUUGCCUAACUGAAUAUAUACAUCCUGCUACCUGUUAUACUUGUUACUUGCACUAUUUGCUUUUUACUUGUGCGUGAACUUAUUUGGUUGCUUGUCUCUGUUGAAUUUAAAAUGACGGAGGGACAGAGGAAGGGUGAAAUGGUUUGGAGUUAUGUUAGGUUUAAAAAGAGAGUAAAUUCAGGGAUAUUUAGGUUACCUACCCCUAUUUAUGCCUUCUGUUUAGAAAUUAAGUUUGAUAACUGGAUGACGGAGUUCUAGGAUUGCCUCUGGCAUUCCCAGGACCUUAUUUAUUAUACGCGUGGCACCUUUACCAUGCUAAGAACCUCCGGUUCUCAUCCUAUACUGUGUUGCUAUUUUCAAAUGCAGGUCGAGAGGCUUCUCGCUAGGCGUCUGGAUCUUGAAGCGGAGUAGUCCCUGGGUUAUUUUGGGUUUUAUGAUUGUAUAUAUAUGUACCUAUGUACUUAGCUUGCUCUCCAAGAAACUUGUUUAUUUUGUUCCUCAUAGAGGUUAAGGGAGAGCUAUGACCUUAUUUUGAGCUUUGAGUAUUUUGGGAUAUCUGUAUAUGUAUGUAUAUAUAUUCUUUGGCCAGCCUUGGCUUCGCAGGCUGAGUCAGGAGCUAGCUAUGUUAUUUUCUUGGCUUUCUUUUACUCUCUUGCUUAUCUUUAUCAUUACCUCUUAGGUUUCUUAGCACGCAAGUAAUCCUAUUUCUUGAGCGUUGCGCUUUUUAUUUUGCAAUUUUUUUUACUCAUUUUUCAAGACUCCUAGUAUAUUAUCUCUUUCACUAUUAUAUGUAUAUUUUAACUUAUUAGAGGUCCGUAACACCACACUACCUCUAUUCUACGACUUAAGCGUAAGACACUGUGUAGUAAGGUGUUAUAUUUUACGAUAAAAAUGUCAAUCUUUUCAGAAACAUUGAAUUGUAAACAUAUUAAAAAUUUAAAAUAACAAAUAAAAUGAAAUUAGAUUUAGAUUCUUAAAAAAGUAAGGUGUUCUUGUAGUAAUAAAUUAUACGUUAUCAUUGAAAAUAUGGGACGACAUAGCGGAUAGUCUACUUUAUCCUGUCAAGACCCACUUUUUAAAGUAAAGCAAAUUUAAAAUGUCAAUCUGCCAUAUUUUAUGGUGAAUUGGUGGGUCGAUGGACUAGCCCACCUAACUUAUUUAAAAUUCUUUUGUUAAAUUAUUUUAAUUUAACAAAAAAUNNNNNNNNNNNNNNNNNNNNNNNNNNNNNNNNNNNNNNNNNNNNNNNNNNNNNNNNNNNNNNNNNNNNNNNNNNNNNNNNNNNNNNNNNNNNNNNNNNNNNNNNNNNNNAUUUGAGUCAUAUAUGAAAGUGUAGAAUAAAGUUAAUAACAAAAAAAUGAAAGAAAUGUGUUUAGAAAUUAUAUAAUUAAUUUUUGUAUCACUAAUUACUCUUUUAUAUAUAUAAAAAACUUUGGUCAGACGCACUAGCUCGUCCUGCCCUGCCAAAAUCCAUGGGUUUGGCAGUGUGAACUUGCGCAGAUUUUUUUAAAUUCAUCAGGUUCCAAAUCCUUACCCAGCAUGCUUUUUGUAGUGAGUUUAGCAGUCUGCUCCGUUUAGUCACCACUGAAAAGAAUAACUUAACCUAAUAGAUAAAUUAAACGUUAAAUUAUUUUGUUGGUCUCUAUAGUUAUACCAAAUUUAUAAUUAGGUCUUUAUAUUAUUUUUUCUUUUAAUUGGGUCCCUACACUAAUUUUAGUUUUAUAAUUAGGUCCUCACUAGUAUAAAAAAUGCUAGAACUAACGAAAUAUUUUUGCAUAAAUUAAACGUAUCUAUAAUUAAAAAUCUAAUUAGAUAUCUCGCCACAUAUUUUUUUGGAGGAAUAUUCUGUUGCUUUUAACACUUUUGACACAAAAAUGACCAAAUUAUAAAAUUAAAAGUAGUAUAAAGAUUCAAUUAAAAGGAAAAAAAAAAUAUACGUGUUUAGAAACUUGUAAUGAUAUAGAAUUAAAUUUCAAUAUUUGAAAUGAAUUAGUAAAACUACAAAAUUAAAUUAAAUUCUAGUAUUUAAAAUGUUUAUCAAAUAAAUUAAAAUUUUGUAACGGACAACUUUAAUUUAUCUUUUAUUAACAUAACAUCAUAUUAAAAUAAUAAAUAUACUUAUUCAUUAAAUUAUAUGAAAUAACUAAAAAGAUUGUAUUUUUCAACUAACAUUUUUUUUCAACUAAAAUUUGUUCCUAUCUUUAAAAAAAAAAACAAAAAUUGACUUUUAUUAAGUUAAUCUCUUCAACAAAAAAACAGAUAGCAAAACCAACUAUAAAUGCAAAUUCUAGUUGUUUUACAAGUCCAUUAAAUUAAAAACAUCAUUAGAAAAAUACUUUAAUAUAAGAGUUAAUAUUCAAAUUUGUCCCCGAAAGAUACCUCGAUCUCCAUAUUAGUCCCCAAAAGAUAAAGUUAAUCAAAAGAGUCCUUGAAAGAUACCCAAGUUAAUCACGUUUGUCCUUCCGUCAAGUCCUUUAAUGAGCUGGCUAACCUCUGAUAACGUGUUACGUUAGCUGCCUCCGUGGAAGAUGCCAACGUGUCAUUAGCUAUUGCUGACAAGGUAAGUAUGGGAAAACUGUUCAAAUCAGUCCCUCAGUGUUUGAAACCUAAUCCUAAUUUUCACAUUAAAUACGUUGCGUUCAACAAUCAGAGGGGCAUAUACUUGGGUAAGUGUUGAAAUUGGCUGGUUUGGGGCGACGAAGGAGGCAGCAAAUGGAGGCCGUGGCGGUGGUGUCUCGUUUCCGUCGAACGGCAGUAACGGUUCCAGCGCUUCAAUGCGAACCAGGAGGAAAACCCAUGAGGAAUCAUGUUUCUGUGGGUUGAAGGCUGCGUUGCGAAAAUCUGGGACAGCAGAGAACCCAGAUAGACUAUUCCGUGCAUAUCCAAGGUACCGGGUGAGUGUUGUGUAAAAGAUUAGGAGGAUGCUUUGGAUGAUCUUUUAUAGGAAUAAAUAAUUACUCUCAUUGAAUUGGUGUUUCUGUUUUAACUGUUAAGUGCUUUGCUUGUAUCAUUUAUCCUCUUAAGGUAUUAAGAGUUUUAUGAUUAUAAAUAUAAAGACUAAUCUAUUUAUUUGUUAAUUCUGUUUUUCCCCUUGUUUUAUCGUUAUUAGGAAUUUAGGAUCAAGAAUAUGAUUUGAGUUCCAGUGAAUUCUUUUGGAUGAAUUUGAUUCAUUUUUAAUUUGUUUUGAAAAUGAACCUGGCAAGCAAGUUAGGAGUGCAAUCAC
Molecule: long non-coding RNA, 84484 nt
Filed under: Arachis ipaensis
Lineage: Eukaryota; Viridiplantae; Streptophyta; Magnoliopsida; Fabales; Fabaceae
Description: long non-coding RNA (AIPA_LNC002547)
Source: RNAcentral